RNAcentral lists this long non-coding RNA (55624 nucleotides) under Brassica rapa (field mustard). The record is from RNAcentral. Lineage: Eukaryota; Viridiplantae; Streptophyta; Magnoliopsida; Brassicales; Brassicaceae.
UUUUUUUUUCCAUCUGGUUUUAUUAAUAACAUUGAAGGAUACAAGAGUCGAAUACAAAGCCGGCGGAACAUAGAAACAUCCCCGGAGACUAAACCCAAGAAGGGGAACAAGAACCCAAACAACCGGGCUGCAUACCAACAUCUGGAACUUAAACUUAAUACCUAUACUCCUUGUGAGAAACCCAAAGACAAUCUAUCAUAAAUUAAAGAACAGAGACUUAAUAGCCUAUAACCAGCCGGAAUUCUUGCAACGAACAAUACAUGUGACAAUUUGAGCAGAAACCUCAUCUGAACCUCAUAUUCACGAUGACAACAACCAACCUCUUCGACAACCUCAAGACAACAACCAGGAUGAAACAAACACCCACCAGAGCGCUUAACUCAACCGCACCAUAAGCUGGAAGCCUCCAUGUCUCCACCUCCAUGCUUCAAGCAAACAAAGCCAUGAGGAAGACAAAGACCAAAGGAAGACCAGGAGAAACACUAUUUUCAAGGCAGGAGACAGCCCCCGCUGAACCUGAGAGACAAAUAGGUGUUCUGAAAACAACCUAUUUCUCAAGGACCAUAACCACCAACUGCUGCUCACUACACACCACCACGUUACUGCUACACCGUUGCUAAAUCAAAGACCAACUAAGACCAGCUCAAAAACCAUGAUAGACAAGCAUGAUUCAACUCCUUGCCUGGAGAUACACACAGCUGAUGGAGGGACGACGGAACAGAACUGAAGAGCUCUCUCUGUUGAGACACCAAAGCUGCAACAUCAAGAGAACCAGAUCUAAGCCGACACGUCCAACACGCCUCAGACCUCCAUCCGAGUAACACCAGAAUCAUCAGAUCCAUCCAUAAACCCCGAUCUGAAACUAAACCCAAAAAGGUGACAAGUUACCGAAAUUAAAGACAGAGACCUAUUUAGAAGGGAGAGACAUGGCCGCUCCCGACGGCGGUGAGAAGCACCGACCGUCGGAGCAGAAGACUAAGAUACGGCGGCUCUUGGUUCUUUAGGUUUUGUCGAGAGCGUUUUCUUUUUAAUCCCAAGUCUUAGACAAUAAUAUUUGUUUACUACAUAUACUUAAUAGCUUUAUUUCUUACAAUAUUUUGGUAUCUGUAAACUGAAAAAAAUACGUUCUAAAAGGAUAAAGUAAUAUAAAAGGAUACUAUACGCUGAGAAGUAUCAGAGUUUUCUAAAUUGAUGAAGACACUAAAUGGGACACUAUACCCCACGAGAGAAUUGCCAUCAUCUCAUGCACGUCUUCUCUUUACGUUUUGAUGUCAAGUUUGCAACCCAAAAGCAUUUAAGUCACAAGUUUAUGUUUUUAGUGGGAAUAGACACUAAUUUCAUUGUAAUAUAGUUGAUGCUGUUAGAUACGUUCAAAUAUUUGAUAACUACUAAGAUACCAAAUGGAACGGUUGGGAUAAAUUACUAUAGUAUCUGGUUAUCAUAUGAAAGUAGUGUUCUAUCUCACAUAUCAACAUCUUAAUAUUUCUAUUUUCAUUAAGGGACCUACAUACCUAAUAAUAAACUAAUGCAAAAUUGAAUACAAAAAUAGAGACCAUAGAAGUCGUAGUCGGAUAUGCAUAUAUACUAAAAUGUUUUGCAUGCAUCGCAUCACUAACUUAAAAGGAAUCAUGUUCAUGGCUCCUUAUCUACCCUUUAGUGCCACUUUGUUUCUUUUUUUUAAAUGUAGUUUUCUUUCAGCAAAUUGCAAUGAUUCUGUGUUGUUGAGAGCGACUUCAUGCAUUGCUUUCCCCCCACGUAAAAUACAUUAUUUAUCAAUAUAUGCUUAUAUAUAAGUUGCUUACCAGCUUGUCAAGUUAAAAACAUUUACUAGCCUACAAAAUCGCAUUGGCAUCUCUAUAUACUCUACAAUAUAUACCUAGAUUUUGGAGUCAAAGCGAUUAUUUGUGAGACGUGCCUUUUAGAUUUUGCAUGGUCAAGUUUGUAUUGUCAAUCUAUCAUGAACUUAUAUUUACACUAUUUGAAAUCUGCUUAUAGUUAAAACUCAUAACAUCUCGAUAGACUACAUUGUGCUAGAUAUGCUAUUUAUAACGAAAUGUUAGAUAAAUUAGGAUUGUGUAUAUAUAUGGUCCUCUAAUAUAUAAUAAGAAAGUGCAGCACUUAAAGGAUAUGAGUAUGAUUGAUGGUGAAAAAGGUCUUUUAAGCACCAAAUUUAUUAGGGGUUUUGUGAAGAACGGGUCCUACACGAGACACUAACAAGAAUAGCUAAACCAAGGGGAGAGAAAUAUAUCGUUGGUGUUGAUGAGCCACUUCUAACAUAAGCAUGACGGUUUGUCUAAGCCUCAGUUUAUUCUAUGUUUUUAUUUUACUUUAUAUGGAAACAAGUGUUUUUGAAAGCCGUAUUUAUAGGCAUCUGGUCUAACAUUUUGAAAGAUCAUCAAAAGAUUUUUUUUUUCUUUUUACGAUGUUUUAACCUAUAUGAAAUAUAGGAGAGGGGAACUAUAUAGUCUACGUACAAAUUUCAUGAUAUAUAAACUGAAAUGUACCCGGCAUUCUAACCAAAAAGCUUUCCGGAUUUUAAAAUCACUCACGUUCCACGGGUACGCAAUCAGACUGCUGAUUUUUUAGCUAAGACUGCUAGAUCGUUCCAUAGGGAGUUGUGUUUUAUUGGUUGUUCUAUUCUGGUUUGGUUACCCAGACCACCUCAAAUUUGAGUAAUAUAAUAGCCUUUCGACGUCAAAAAAAAAAAACAAAAAGCUUCUAUCAAUUGGCUCACCAAGAAAACAAAUAUGAUCUAGUUUCUGAAGAUAAUUUGUAUUUCCUGUUUGCGUAUAAAUUAACAAAUGUCAUUGUAUAUUCUGGUUUUCUAACAAUUCAAAAAACAAAAAUGACAAACUAGUGUCUUAUGCUCAAUUUACCCAAAAAAGGCUGAAAUAACUUUUAGAUACUUUUAGUACAUAUUAGAAUAAAUAAAAUAUAAGUAAUUGUCAUUUGAGAAUAAUUAUUUUAUGGAAUGAGACCUAGUUCAGAAAAGAAUCAUGUGGUGCAACGGAAAUUGAAAUUUAUGGUAUACUUUUCGCUUUUAUAACUUUUUGUUCUCUUAUACGUCUAAAAAGUCAAUGGAGAUUUAAAAGAGGGGGGGGGAAAUGGAAGAACAAUGCCACCACGAAGUCAGAUUAUUGCUGCCUAAUCAUUAAAGUCAGAUUUAUUAUACACUCUUCAUACCUAUGCCCUGCCCAACUCUAUUAUACACACACAUUCACAUCAUUUUACUAUGUAAAUAUUUCACACAUAUAUGAAUGCACAUAAUUGCAACUUCAAUGAAUGAUUCUAUGAAUGGCCGUUUGACACAAACGUCAAAAAAAAAUGAAUGAUUCUAUCAAAAAAAUUUUUUAAUUAAUGAUGACAUGUGGUCGCAACCAUAUUUUGGUUAAAAAUAUUUUACUAAAAUUUAAAGAUAAUAAUUUAUGUUUUAAAAAAUUAGAUUUCAUAGUUUUACACAUAUUAAAUUUAUGUCAUAAAUAUUUUUUAUCAAUUUUCAACACAAUUAAAAUAAUAUUAAUUUAAUUACUUUUAAAAAUAUAGGAUAUAUUAUAAUUAAAUGAUUAUAAUUUAUAAAUACAUACACAAAAAUUACUUUUUUGAAAAUAAAUAUUUUCAAAACAUCUAUUUUUCAUAGAACGGAAUUGAGUAGUCUUUAGAUCUAUAUAUAUAUUUUUAACUGAAAAUACACAAGGCACUGAACUAAACUAUAUAUUUCUGUAGAUCUUUUGCUCAAAAAAAAAGAUUUGCUCAAAAAAAAAAUAUUUCUUUAGAUCUAUAUUACCAAACUGAUAUGACGACUAAUGUUCUCCUUUUGCUAUUUGUAUAUGCGCACAAAAAUGUUAUUUUAUCAUCAAAUUACAAUUUCCAUCUGCCGUAUAAGCUAUUUUUAAUUAACAUUAAUAUGUACCUUGUACUGAUCCUUUUAUGUUGUUUUCAUUUUCAAUAAUUUCGGAUAAAUGGACAAGAAAUAAACAGAUUGUCAAUGAAAACUUAAUUAUUUGAUCAAGAUACGGACACAACAAUAUAUAUAUAAGACAUGCAUACCUACAUAUAGUUUUAUAUUGAUUCUCUCGUCCUCUUUGUCAUACUUCAUGAAUCAUGACAUGGCUUAAUGCAACAAAACAGAAAAACUUAGUGAUUUGAGUAAAUCAUAAACAUUGAGUUGACCUAAAUAUUAUAGUUUAUUUUAUCUCCGUCCAGAUUAAUUAUAGCUUCUGAAGAAUGUUUCAGGAAAACAUGCUUACAACAACCUGAUGUAUUUUAUAUUCCAAACAAUCAAAGAUCGUCAUCUCAAUUAAAUUGUCUUAUCCUCUUUUAAAGAUUUUGUUUUUAUUUAUGUAAAUGAGACCUCUAUAUAUAUAUAAACCGUGUGCAGUUAAGUACUUUUCUAUGCAAUGUUCGAUAUAUAAGUGCAUGGAUCAACGCAGGUUAUCAAAUUCUUCUUAAAAUUAAGAUAAACCUACGUGUACGGUUGGAUUUGUGUCGGUUUAUCUAAACGUCUCAUGCAAUCUCGUGGACUCGUACGGCGUCCAAAAUACUCCAUUCAUCUGUGUGUGUGACUUUCAAAUUUGUUGUAAUCGAUAAAAAGAGAAAAAGGGCUCACGUAUCAAAAGCAAUAAUCAUCGUCUGCUAAUUAUCAAAAGACCAUUAAUGACGUUUCAUGCACAUUAAGUUUUUAAACAUUGAAUUAUCAUAUAGCAAAAAAAAACAUUGAAUUAUCCCCUCGCACGGAAUUAGAAGUAUCCAUCUUUGUAACUUUUAUUCGUUGACAAGAAAAAUGUAAUUAUUAAUCAGGAAUCAUAAAAGUUAUAGCGAAUCAUGGGUAAGCGAGCGCAUCAAUGCACACAAAUCAAUGAUUAAAUUUGCACGAGAAGCAUCGUACGUAAUACUAUUAGGGAUUGAAUUCUAUUUUUUCACCAAAAAAUAAACGGAAAGGACACUUUUUGUUUCAUGAAUUCGACUCGUAAGGUUUCAAAGUCAGCAUGCAUAUGAUAGGAACUUACUUUACUGUAUCCAUCAUUCGAGAUAAUAACUAGCUAUGGAAGAAGCGUGCGAUAUAGAUAUAGUCACAGUUAUACGUGUAUUUUUUUGCCAAGUAUAUGUAUGUAUGUAUAUAUGUACGUAUGUGACAUAUAUAAUUCGAUUAGUUUCAUGAACCGAGUAUUUCUAAACGAUGCGGUAUGAUGUCAUAUCAGUACCUAUCCAAACUAGAUAAAACUAAACUAAAUGUUUUGGUUACUAUCUCUCAAACUAACAUACGUCAAUAAAUGUUUUCCGCUGCAUUUAAAAACGUAAACCAGAACUUAUAUAAAUGUUUUGUAGAUUUGAUUUAAGACUACACUAUCCUAGAGUUUUUAGGAACCAUACAAUUAGCUAUAGAAAAGUAAUUCAUAUAUAGUAAAAGGAGAAACGUAUUUUUUUAUUUCUUUCACACUUUAUACCGAUAACACGUUUUGUUUUCGGAUGUUUGGGUUUCUAGUUUCCAAAAGAUUAGAAAAGCUUGAUACAGCAGAACAUCUAUAAAUUAAUACUCGAUAAAUUAAUAAUUUUUAUAAAUUAAUAAAUUCCAUCGGUCUCAACUUGGACCGUUUUAAAAUUUGACACAAAUCGAUAAAAUAAUAAGAUAAUAAUUUUUUAGAAAAUUCUAUAUAAAUAUAUGGUCCAAUUAAAAUUAUAAAUUAAUAAAUUAUAUGUAUACGUAUUUUAUAUAAGUAAAAACCUAUUAUUAUAUGGUUUGUAUUAUAUUCACAAUGGAAUUAUCUUUAUAUUUUUUUAACACUUGAUAUAUUUUUGAUGAGGUUUAGUGAUAUUAUAUCUAAAAUCACAUUUAAGUUCUAUGCAAUUUAUACUAUAUACACCAAAUAAUAUAAUAAAAUUAAUAUAAAUGUCAAAUUUCAAAAAAUAACAAUUAAUGUCUAUACACUAAAAUCAAAUAUUUGUCUUAUCUUAGAAUGAAUAUAUCUUAAAAUAAGAAAUCUAAAUAAAGAAAUUUUUGUAAAUUAAUAUCUUUAUAAAUUAAUAAAAUUUCAAAGUUCCAAUAUUAUUAAUUUAUAGAUAUUCUACUGUACAUAGUUUUGAAAUGUACUCAAAACACUUAACACAGAAUAUUUUUACAAAGGAAUCGGUUUCUAAAUAUAUUUUUUGAAUAAUUAAGUAGGUUAGUAGAUGGAUGGAUUGUCAUACAAUGUAUAAAGAAAUAAAGGGUGCACUCAUCUCUAAUGAUAAUUUUGUACGUCGAACACAGUAGGCACUAAUUAACUAAUGGCUCCGUAACUCCGUUAAUCAAUUGCCCCUAAACUAUAAAAAGGAGCAAGUAAGACAAACUCGAAAAGGUUGAAAAUCAAUUUAUGGAUAAUAAGCAUAUAAAAACAAAGAAAUAACAAAACGGCUUAUACCUAGCAACGACAUCUACCUGUGACCUAAUUAACAUGGAGACACUUUUGUGGCAAUUUAGUUCCGACGUUGUUGUCAUGUUUCUCACACCAACCCCCAUGAAUGUACCCUCUCCACGUUUUCUUUUUUUCUUUUACUAAUAUGUUUCUGUUUUAUCGUACUAUUUCUCAACAUCUUAUAUGCUUUAAAAGUAUUUAUGUAAAGUUUUAGAUUUUUUGUUUUGUUUUUUGAAAGCAACUAAGGAGUUUGUAAUUACGGCAAGCAACGUGGACAUGGAAUCUAGAACAAUAAAGUUAAAGAAAGUGAAAUUAAAGAGUUAAUGAGAUAUGUAAAAAACCUGGGAUUCGUGCUCCAAUCUCAACUUGCUCACCAAAUAUUUCAUCAAUACUCGAACAGUCAUCUUCCCGUCCCUACAAAAUCCAAGAACACCAAUAUUAAUUAGCCAAAAGCAUUUGAUAAAAUUGACGUCGGUUUAUCUGUCAUUCUUAUAGUAUAUACUCAGAGAAUGGUAGAAUCUUAAUAUACACUAACUUGAUUCUCAAGUAGCUCUUGGGUAUCUGAGGCAAGAAUGGUUCUCUUGUCCUAAGAUGUUCACCAAAACAAAGCCGCUAAUUAGUACUUUAACAAAUAAUUCUAAUAAAAUAAAUUAUAGAACAAAGUCUCUAGGAAGUUAACAUUUAGCACUUACUGGUUUUGAGAAGCUUGAAGGAGGAACCAAAUGCCCGAAUAGGAUCGCCUGGGAGGAUCGAUGACUCGAAAACUCGAGCUUGGACCAGCCACCACAUCCGGAUUAUUAUUAUUAUUGUUCCCUAUUAACUGGUGCUGAAAAUUGGAGCGACCAAAGUAAGGUCCUAUGAAUGGCAUCAUCAAAGAGGUAGAUGACGAUGAUGGUUGCACUAGGUUUUGUGGGACAAAAGGCGUUCUAAACGCAGCAGCCGCCCAAGAACCAAUCGUCUCCUGAUCAGGCCUGGUAGGGAACAUUAAUGGAUUAAUCAUCAUCCCUCCUGGUUCAUGCUGAUGAUGAAAGAUAGAUGACAUUAAUGGAACAUCAACUCUUUCUUCUCUAUUUGAACCGCCAGAGUAAAGGUUAAGCUCUAGAAAAGAGUCUCUCCCAGCCGUUUGAUUGGUUUGAUGUUUAUUGUCAAGAUCCGGUUUAACAUCAUCCUCGUGGCCUGUGCUUAACCGGAGCCAUCCUUCUUGUCUCAUCUCAUGAUCUUCGGCUUCAUUCUUGGUAUUAUUAUCAUUAUUAUUGUUAUUGUUGUUGUUGUCGUGGUCAUCCUUGGAACUUAACCUAGAAGUAGUACUUCUCGGUUCUUCUUGAUCGGCCAUGAAACUACAAUCUUUCCUACAAACUUGGUAAUGAUCAGAUCCUAAGCGAAUGUCUUUCUUGCUGUUGUUGUUGUUGUUGUCCUCGGAGAAAGAAGAGAAGUGAUGAGCUUUUUGUAAUAACCUCAUAAAAGCAAAACUAUUGGAAACCCCACAUGAAUGAAGAAGCCUUGUUGAGGAGGAGGAUUCAGCAUCAACAACCAUGGCAGAGUCCUGUGAGUCGGAGAGGAGCGAGACGAAGCGUUACUGAUGAUCUCAACAUGAGGGGAGAUGGAGGAGAGAAUAUAUAAUAAAUUAGGGUUCUUAGAUGGAGACGAAAGAUCAAGAACUCGAGGAAUGGUCAGAGACCGGAGAAGUCAUGGAGCUCUCUGGAGAGAGAGAGAGAGAGAGAAAGAGAGAGAGAGACUAUAUGUGUUUUAAUGAUGAGAGAGGACUAGAGAAACAAUAAAUUCUGAAAAUCUCACUUUCUAUCAAUUCUCGUUGUUUGGAAUCUUGUGUGAAUGAAAUUGAUGCAGAGAAUAGAGUAAGAGAGAGAGAGAGAGAGAGAGAGAGAUGCUAAUCUUGUAAUUAUACAGAGUAAUGGGCACUAGUUAUAUGGAAAGCUUCUUAUGCGGUCAAUCUCAGUACAUAUACAUUAUUUUGGUGUCAUCUACUCUAAUACACACGUAUUUUCUUUUUUCCUUCACCACAUAUACAUAAGCAUUAAACAACAAAAAAAAUGAACGAUGAUUAUCAGAAUUCAGUUUCUUUUUGUCUUUUCAAACGUAUAAAGUACGGAAUACUUAGAGAAUUACGAUUUGAAUAAUGCCUUCGAAUUUUCAAUAACUCUUUUGGUUAAUAUUUAUAAAGUUUUUAGUGAGUUAAGAAUAGAUUAAAAAUUUAUAUAAACUAUUUGUCUUAUUUUAAAGGUAAUAUUAAAAUAAUUAAGUUAUAUAGACAAGAAUUUUAUGAAGAUAUUUUCUAACUCUUUUACCCAUAACUUUGUCAAUUCAUAAUACGAAUAUUUUUUUAAGAUAUUUCUAUUUACAGUCGCUCCCAAUUGCUUAUAAUUAUUCCAAGAACACGAUAGAUUGGUUCACAAGCCUUUUUUAAAAAAAAUGAUAGAUUGGUUCACAGUUUUCCAUAUUACUUCUUCACAAAUUACAAACAUACACAUAGAAAAAUGGGGAUAUUGGUAAUAUUGAACCUAGCUAGCUGCAUGGAGGACUCAAUCCACGAUGAUAUAAAACAAUAUAAUCAAAUAAAACCAGCAUAUUACCUGCGUCAUCAGGCCAACCAACGUUUUGAGAUAUUUCUCACACCUAUUCAACGUACAAAAGAUAUUAAUACUACAAGAGAAGAAUUAUAGUGGUAUAUUCCUCAAUUAAUGUAUAUUAUCAUUACAACUAAUAACCUUUUAACGAGCAUAUAUCAUGCGAGACACAAAUACAGAUUAUAUCACGUAUAUUCAACAGACUUCACAUGUUUACUCAUGCAUAUACUUACUCGACACCAUUUUAUAACUUCGAAUUUCUUACAUAUUAUUGGCUGUCCCAAAAGAAAAAGAAAAUUUAUUAUUAGUCCAAACUUGUCGUAUUCGUCGUACAUGAUUCAGCAGAUGCAAAACCUUUCUCGAUCUCGCAUGAUAGUAUGUACUCACACUAAUUCAGUAGUUCUAUCGUCGCAUAUUCAGAUUAAACAACCCGUAUCAAAUACCUCUUAUUACAUUUUUUUUACCAAAAUUAUUAGUAUAUAAUAUUUCAUCCGUUUCUAAAAGAUCCAUAUUUACAUCUGUAGUUCUAUUCUAAAAUAUUUCUUAAACAUUAAAAUAAGAAGUACAACUACUACACAAGUUACAAAACUACAGCUUGAACAUUCACAAUCACAAUUCACAACGUAUAACUAAAGAAAUACCAAUCCUUUAUCAAAAAAAACUAAAGAAAUGCCAAUCAAUAUUGUCUAUUGUACCUUAGGAAUAUAUAUAAAAGGUGGUGUGACAAAUAUUCUAACUAGGAAAAUAUUCUACGAGUUGACCGAGUAAAGUUAUAAUUAGCAUAUUAUACGUAAAAUUUGUUUUUGUUUUUGUUUAUGUGUGUUGUCUUUACUCUUUAAAUAGACAAAGAAAGUUGGCCUUUUAAAAAAUGUUUUUGGUAUAUAUAUAUGGGGUUAAAUAAAAGCUGGGAUUUUCAGUAAAGCCAGAAAACGAGAAGAGUGGAGUGCGAGGCAUGAUGACAUUAGACCUGUCAAAGUUCAAUUAUUAAGAUAUGAAGUGUUUUAAUAAUCCCAAGGAUGGUAGUUAAUUAUUCCUAAAUGAAACUAGGAAUAUUUAAGUCAGAGAUUAAAAAAUACUCCAAAAACGCUUGAAGGAAAUUUGGCAUGCACCGAAAAUGAUGAUGUUUCGGUUAAAAGCUCAUUUCCCCAGAUCAUACAGCAAAACCCACAGACCCUGUGAUGCUUGUUUCUCAUCAAAUUGUACUUCUACUAAGAACCAUGUGCUACCCAACAAUUUUAUGUUAGUACGUUUUUAUUAGAAUAGGAAAAAUUAGUUGAUCACAAUCUACUGAAAGUUAUUUCUUGUUGAUAUAUACUGCAAUUGUUGAACUUAAGUGGUUAGAAAAUGCUCAGUGUUCGGGAUAUUGUUUCAGAAGAGAAGUCACUAAUAUAUCGAUGUCAGUACAAAAGCGAAGAAAGACUUCAGGUUAUUCUGAAGAUGGAUUAUGUUUUUUUACUAUUCAUAAAUUGGAAAUCCAUGAUAAAUUCGAACUUAACAUCGUAUCAGAGUAUCAUAUCAGAGUCCAGUUACGAUCCAUUACCCGUACCCAUCUGAAAUAUAUGGUCCUCCGGCUGGACCAAUUGUCUUAGUUAGUCAGUGUGACAACGAUACAUUUUCAAUCAAUUUUGUUUUCAUUUUCGUAGCUUCAUGCUUUCUUCUCUUGUAAACAUUUUCAUUUGUUUUUAUUACGAGCCAUGAGUAAUUACCGUAUUUAUAUGGGUUAGGUUUAAAUUUAGCUAUGUUUCGUGCUGGUUCUCCAAUAUAUUUUUCACUCUAAAAUAUAGUUUAGAGUAAAAAUGCUCCAAUAAUACUAUAUUUUUCACUCUAUAAUAGAGUGAAAAAUAAAUUACUCCAAAUAUAAAGUAAUUUUUUAUCACUUUAUUUUCUACUCUAAAUAUAGAGUACCAUUGAAGCAAACUCAAACUUUAUUACAGAGUGACUUUAUUUUAGAAUAAAAAUAUAAAAAACCAUUGGAGAUGGUCUUAUAUAUUAUUUAUAUCUUAGUUUAAUUCCCAAUGUGGAGUUUAUAUUUUCACAUAAAGACUUAACAGUCUUUUACACCUCAGUUUACUUUGAAUAUUUCCGUUCUUGCAAGUUUGCACGUUCAAUCAUUCUAUUUUGCUGAAGUCAUGUCACACAGUUACGUUCAACCAUGAGACUUACGGAUAGUUUUUUCUUAAAGAUACAUUUAAAUGUCAACAGUAAUUUGUGCAUGGUCAAUAAACAAAAGCGUACUACAUCAAGAACACAUACAUACAUGCACAGGGGGAGAUAGUCAGCUUUGGGUGGAAAAGAGGAAGUGAAAAGAUUCAGAGGCGUGGCCUCUGGCUAGUGACAUUGCAUAGGGCAUGAAAUGACUUAGGCUUUGAAUCAACCGCAAAAAGUUUAUAUCCCUUUUGUCUUUCAGAAAAAAACUUAUACUGAUACCAAUUUUUUUUCUUACAAUACCAAAAAGUAGAAUUAUGUAAAUUUGUUUGAGCUAGGGUGAGUACAUAAACAAUAACACUUGCUUCAAUCUAACUUUUGUAUGGUUUGUUUAUAAAUUGCUUGGGUGAGUUCAUAAACAGUAACUUUCGAACGUAAAAGAUAUUGCUCUAUUUUUUUCGAAUGCGAAUAUUUUGUUGUUUAAUGUAUAAAUAUGGGCAUGCAUAUUGGAAGAAAGGUGCCUUUAGGCAGGCCUAUCGGGACAAGUAAAUACUGAGGCAUAUAGUGAAGUGAGUGGGAAGAGUUAUCAUUCCGAUGUUGUAAAAGAAACAUAACUUUCUCUCUCUUUCUGCAUUGCAUGUCCCCUUUAUCUACAACCACCUCUUCCUCUUCACGUCUUAACGAAUAUUCUCCUUUACAAUUUUUAUACAUUGAUACACUGAUUCAUGUGCAUAUAUAUAGAAUAUUAUCAUCAUCUCUCUCGUUCAAUGGUCAAAUCAAAUUUCUGCAUCAACUUCUCUUUCUUGAUUCCAAGUAUUUUCUUGUUCUUUUGAGUUGCGGCCCACGCGGGAUUCUCGUUUUUCUAUUCAUGUAGACAUAAACAAACUCCACUAAACCAAGUAUUCAAUUUCUGGCAUAAACUAUAGCUAAUUGCAAUAUUUUCUAUUUCUAUCUUGUUAUUACAUAUGCUGAGCCUGACAUAUAUAUAUAUAUAUAUAUAUAUAUAUAUAUAUAUAUAUAUAUAUAUAUAUAUAUAUUAUGAAUGGUGACUAUUAGCCUAAAUAAGCUAAGAAUCAAAUUAGAUUAAAAAAAAAGAUGUAAUUACAAAGGUGGCUAAGUCAUGAAAAUGGAUUAAAAAAACACUGACACGAUAUUAAAAUGAAAUAAAAACUGAAAGCAUGCAUACAUAUGUUGUGCUAAUAAGAUGGCACACUUAAUAAUAACAACAUUGAUAUAAUAUAUAUACACACUGUCAUGUCUUCCAAAUGUUUUGGGGGCAUGCGACAUAUAUAGCUUUGUUUCUUUCUAAAUUGAAUUGUCUUUCGUACAUACAUCACUUUUACAUACAAAUAGUGUGUAUAUAUACAAGUCGAGAGAAUAUUUGGAAGACAUAAAAAGACAAGAAACGAACUAAAAACACAAAACCAUAAGCUAAAUUUACAAUUCGUGGAUUGCUGUAUCGCAUUGAGCCUAUCACAGACACUGUCCUUCCAGGAUUGCAAUCAUGAUCAUCUGCCACAGCCAUCCUAUUUUAAAAUGUGCUACAUUCUCUUGCUUUAACGGUCCACAUUAUUUUACACUCUCCUCCCAAAAAAAUGUUAAAAGGCAUGUGUAUGUAGUAAGCCUUGGUGUUGGUAAAUGGGUUUGGGCUGCAACAUGGGCUCAACUGAAAUUAUAAGCCCAUUUUAAACCGGAACACGAGGUUAUAAAUGCUAGCCUUUAUGUUGUUUUCUUGCUUCUAAGAAGGACCACCACAAUUAAAGCCUCCUACUGUAUGUCAUCAUUCAAGUCAUCAGCCUUAAUACAUGUAAUGUAAUACUCAUGGUUUAGCUUGCAGUUUGGUACGAAUUUGCUCCUUUCACGCACGUUAAAAAAUAUAAUUGAGGUUAAUCAAUAAGUUAAACUUGUCGACCUCAAUUAAGGCCAUCGUUAUCAAGAAAGUUGUCCUUGGUUGGAUACCAAUUACCAACAAACAAAAAACAAUUAAAAAUCAUUUAGACGCAAAGUAAACAUGAUAUCGUGGCACCUAUUUAAUUUUAAUAUUACAACCAAAAAGGCUAUUUAACAAUAUAAUAAAAAAACCAAAGUUGAACGGCCCAUGAAACAUCAUAAAACGGCAUGCAGUCCAGUUCUUUGAAACUCAGACGCUACGUUGUCCAAUCACAGACCAAAGCAUAUCCGCAUCUGCACGUGCGAGGAUUCCUAGCGAGAUAUAUAGAUACCUAUAGAAUACAAUACACACAAGUUCGUCUUCAUUUCCGCAAAAACCGUUGAAAGAGGUUCGGUUCAGGUUCGUUUCUCUUGUCAAUUUUUUUUUUUUUUGCGAUAAUUCAAUUAUCCUUGCCGCUCAUUUUUUUCAGGUUCUACGGUCUGAUUAUAUGAAUUGUGAUUCUAUUUUCGGAUAGUAUAAAUGUUUCAUUUUCAAACCCUUAGAUCUGAGAAUUGCGUGAUGAAAUUUGAUUAAUCUAACCUGCUCUCUUAAAAAUUGUUAGGUUGUCUUUUGUUUAUCGUAUCUUCACCAUGAAGUUUCUGGAGUACACCAACCUUGACAGGUUCAUUUGAGUUUUUUUUUUUGGUGAAUUAUGAGAAUUUUAGCUGUUCCUCUAAAAGGGUUUUGAUUGCAGAUUGAAUGUGUUUAUGGGCCAUCUAAAUCUUGGAGAAAGAACUAUCAAAGGUUGCCUUGAAGCUUAUUCUUGUAAGGACAUGUUCUUGUUCUUCUGUGUCAAAAGAUAUAUCUUGUAAUCUUACAAAGAAAAUAAUAUAAUUUUUUUUUUUUGAUAGGUAAACAUGCUGGAACUGAUAAAAGAUUGUCUCUUAGUUUGGAGAAUGAGGUAUUAUUACAAUCAACCAUGUGAUUUGGUCUUAAUCAUUGAAUGUGUACAGCUGCUGCUUGUUGACCUUAAUUUUUUAAUUGUUUCUUGAAAUCAGAUGCUGGAUUAUCUUGGGAAAUCUUCUGACACUGACUCAUCUUCACCUGUUGAUCUCUUGUUAAGCAGAUCAAGGUUAGGAAUCAAUGUUACACAGCUUUUUUUUUACCUUUCUUUUAUAUAUAUAUAAAAUGUAUAUCUUCUUUACAUAUUAUAUUGUAUUGCUUAUUCCACAGUCGAAAAGCUUUGAUCUACUUGGUUCUUACACUGUAUCAGAUGUAUCCGGACUACGAUUUCAGGUAACUACAUGUUUGUAAAUCUUUUAAGGGAGGGGGGAUUAUAUGGGUAAUGUUCAUUGUCAGCUUCUUGAGCGACAUGGCAACCCGCUAUAUAUAAUCCCCCCUUUUAAAAUCAGUCUGGGAGUGUUGUCAGAAGGUUUGACCAACGGUUCAUUGAACUGUUGCUAGUUGAGAGUUCAAUUCUCUCCAUUUCCCCAAAAAUGCUAAACUAAAACCGGUUGUGUGAAAAAAGUUCGAUCAAGUGUCUGACUGAACAUGGAAGAGUCCAUCUAUGUGUAUAACUCUAUCACUACUGCAUUGUUGUUUUUAUAUUUUGUUUUCAGCGCUGUGAAAGCACAUCAGUUUUUCUCGGAGGAGAGCUGGGACACGUUUACUCAGAUUUUCAACAACUAUAUGUUUGAAGCUUCUAAGGUAUUCUAAGUCUGUUAGAUGGAGAUUUUUUUUAUCAAUUGUAUCAUAUGGAUUCUCUAAUCUGUUUUAUUAGGAAUGGACUGCGAGGAAUGAGGAUGGUUCCCUACUUGAGGCAAUCUACGAGGCUCUUGAUGAGGUAAGUACACUGUUGUAAUAAGAAACGUAGUAGAAGCUAGGCAAGAGUAAUGAAAAGAACUGUAAUCAUGCAAAUGUGCUACAGGUUGUGAAACUAGCUGAAUGUGAGAUAUAUGUUUACAACCCGAAUCCUAAUGCUGAUCCUUUCCUCGAAGAAGGAGCAAUGUAAGUUACAACAACUUUCCUUUUUUUUCUCUAACUAAAAGGCUGUUUCCUUAUCCUUUUUCUCCUGGUGGGUCAAAUCCAGAUGGUCUUUCUGUUUCUUAUUCUACAACCGGAAACUGAAGCGUGUUGCAGGGUUUCGUUUCUGCUGCAUAAGGUGAGAGUAAUUAUAUAGUUGUCUGUCUCUUUUACUCUCCUUAAAAAGUCUUACCAAUUCUAAAAAUGAUUGUUGCAGUAACCUGGCAAGUGAUGCGUUUCUGGCCGACACACCUCCAUAUGGAGAGGAUGAAGACAUCUUUGCCGACAUGGAUAUGUGAUCUCUCUCUAUCUUCAAGUUGAGCUGCACAGUCUGUAGAAAUUCUGUAUAUCAUCGUUGUUAGAUGUUAUGCUCUCUAGUCUCUAGGCUUGUGAAUCCAAGUCCCAAGGUUAAGCCCUUCGCUUUCCUUUAUCCGUGUAGUUAACCUAUUAAGUAUACUCUGUACCUUGUCAUGUCCAAUAAGCUUAUCAGACUUUGUUGUAAUAUCCCCUAAAUAAUGAGACAAAAAAUGUUGAAAUUUGUUUUGAUUUGUGUUUAUGUUCUGUCUCCUUCCAUUCACCAGUAGUCACCGCAAGAGCAAACUCCAUCAUGAAAAUGAUGGAACCGGUUCAUAUCUCGGAUGACAAGAUCUCGCUUCACGAUACUCGAUAUCACUUUCAUAGCACUGUGGCAAUCAGAGCAUAUCCGUAGAUUCUUGAUGAUCAAUAUGCGGUUUCUUGAUAACGGCAUUCGAACGAGCCCAAACGCCAGAGCCAACCUCUCGCUGUGAAACCACAAUCUCUUAUCCUUCUCUUCAUCAUCCAUAUCGUGCAGGACGGCAUUCCUAUCAGGAACAUAGCCAGCUCGUUUUGCUUUCCUGUUAAGCCACUCCAGCAUCCCAUUUACGAGCUUCAUAUCCGGAUGAUGCGAUAACCUUCCCACACUGAAGUAAUGCACGUCUCCUUGAUGUUCUAUCCAACUUAAGCCAGGUUCCUUCUUUACACCUCUCUCCUUCAUGCUUCUCCUAACGGAGGCAACAUUUGCCCAUUCCUUUGCACCUGCGUACAUGUUUGAUAACAGAACAUACGUCGCCUCAUCCAUUGGAUCGAUCUUUAGUAUUUCCUCUGCUGCUCUCCUUGCAAAAUCCACAUUGUUCUGAUCGAUCGAGGCGCUGAGCAUUGCCCGCCAGAUCAUAACGCUAGGCUCAUAUGGGAUCCCUUCGAUCAGCUUCAUAGCCCUCUCGAGCUGCCCUGAUCUUCCCAAAAGCCUGACCAUGCACGUGUAAUGUUCCAAACGUGGUUCAAUACCAUGAUCUCGAAUCAUCGACUCAAAACAUUCCACACCUUCAUCGAUUAAUCUUGCAUUGCUGCAUCCGGAAAGAACACCAAGAAACGUCAACGCGUUUGGCUUACAAUCACUCUCCUUCAUAACGUCGAAGAUUCUCAAUGCCUCUCUGCUCAGCCCAUGCGUUGAGUACCCUGAGAUCAACGCGUUCCAAGAAGGCACGACUUUGGUUUCUAUCUCGUCGAACACGGAUUGUGCGUCUUUGAUAUCACCACAUUUUGCAUACAUAUCUAUCAAUGAGUUGCUCACUGCUACUUUCUCGGCAUUGUUAGUUUUUAUCGCCAGGCCAUGAACUUGGGCGCCUAGCUCCAUGCUUGCCAAAGAAGCACAAACUCCAAUAGCACUUGAGCAAGUUACUUCAGUUACAGACACCUGGUUCCUGAGGGCUUCACGAAACAAGCUUAAAGCUUCUUCUGCCUCAUCUAGAUUCGCAUACCCGACAAUGAUCGUGUUCCAGCUCACCUCGUUCCUAUUUGAUAACUCAGCAAAUAACUUCACAGCGGUAUCCAUUUUCUCACAUUUGGCGUAUACAUCGAUAAGAGCAUUUGAGACAUAGACAUCCAAAUCGAACCCACCUUUCACCACAAGACCAUGAAGCUGCUUUCCUAAGCCAUGAUACUUCCCGAUGGCACACGCAUUCAAGAUACUGGUGAAAGUAAACUCGUUGGGAACAACGAAAGCUUUCCUCAUUCGGAUAAACAGAUCAACCGCCUCGUCACAAAACCCGUUCUGGCCAAAACGAGCAAUCAUAAGACUCCAAGGCACCACAUCACUCUUCGGCACCUCGCUGAAUACUUUGAGAGCAUCAGACAUGUCUCCAAGCUGCGUAUACAACUGAAGCAAACCAAUACCUACACGAGGAUCCAACUCGUAACACGUUUUCAAGAUUCUCCCAUGAACACUCUUGGCAUAACCAAACGCGCCUAGCCCAAUGCUAGCCUUUAAAGCACAAGCAAAAGUGUAGUUGUUAGGCAUGAAACCCUCCAUCCCCAUACGAGAAAGAAGCUCAAGAGAAUCCUCCAAGAACCCAUUCUCCACAUAGCAAGAUACAAUCCCAGCCCAAGCAACAACGUCCUUUCUCAAAAUCCCCUCAAAAACACUUCUCGCACUAUCAACAACCCCACAGACGGCGUAAGCAUUGAUAAGCGCAGCUCCGACGAAAGCAUUGGAGGUGAAACCGAGCUUAACUAUAAAAGAAUGCAACCACCAACCGAUCUCAGCUUUGUCUGCUCUGACGAACCACUUCAAGAAGGAAGUGAACACGUGCGGAUUAAGCUUAUGACCUUCUCGAUGCAGCCUGGUGUAAAGACCAACGGGAUCUUCGCACGCGUUGGCUCGACUGAGAGUGACGUACGAGACGUGGUUUCUCUCAGGCAUUUCGUCGAACAGGUUCGACGCAUCUUUCGGGAAGCCUGUUUUGACGUAGGCGUCGAGGAGAAUGUUUGAAGCGAAGAGGUCUAAGCGGAUGCCUCGCUUGACGACGUCGCAGUGGAUAGCCUUCGUUGAGAUUGGGUCGUUUUGAUCAAUGCAGCGACGGAGUAUUCGCCGUAAGUGUGAGAGUCUAAGCAUGGGGCUAUCGAUUCCGACCAUUCCAAUGCAGACGCAGCGGUUCGAACGGAAAAGUAACAUUGUCCAAAGCGUUUAAACCUGCGAAUCUCCGACAAAGUAAUUGCUCUAAGGAACCCGAUCAUGUGGAUUUCGAGCUUCGAACUUCCGACCGGAUCUUUGAUUCCGAUCACCGGCUAAUUGAAUCGAACCGCAGGUGAAAAAGGUUUACAUGUUAGAGACAAGACAUGAGUUCUCAUGUUAACACGUUUUCGUAAAGAGGAUAAACAUUAUAGCCCAUGAAAAAAUGGCCCGGCCCAAUUAAUAUCUUAGGGCGGCCCAUGUGAACCGAGUUAUUCGAUAACCAGAUUCAAACUAGGGCUUCAGGGAGUCGUUGCCUAUAAAAUAAAGAUUUAGCUGGUUUAGCUUUGCAGACAGCGAUCUCCAUGUGCUUUGUUGUAGGCUACAUAUUUUUUGAUUUGGUUAACUUCUGAUUUUCAGAAUGUAAUACUUUUUAUUUUGAUUUGAAAAUCUAUUGAAGGAAUGGGAGCAGAUGAUGAUUUUAUUUGCACUACAACGGUGCUUCCGAUUAACCAUGCGGAUUAUAUAAAUCGAGCUUUUUAAAACUGAUUCUCCCAUUCUUCAAUCUGUUUGUUGUGGAGAUUUUAUCACGCGGUUUAGUAGGUUGAUUUUGUAUUUUUAGCGAUGUCAGUAUAGAAUGAACGGUUUUUAUCAACAUGUUCUGAUUUUCUAGACUUGUUCAAAAAAAUAAAAAAAAUUCGCAGUUGUCAUAGUACUACUAAGAAUCUUUCUCUGUUUUAAAUCUUUGUCUGAAACUGAUGUGAAUCAAAAGUACGGUUCUGCAAUAAAUGACAUGUUUUCCCAGCUGUUACUGUGUGAUUUAAUGAAGAUUCUGAUUGGUUACUCGAUAAUCUUUGUAUUGGUGGUAAUGACAUUUGAUUUGGAAUAAAUACGUCUUUAUGGAUGUUUUUUUUUGUAACUAAAAAGCGGAUGUUGUGGACUGACUUUGGUGUAUAGGCAAAAUAAAUAUUAAUAAUUGAAUCUUCUAUUUUAGCUUCAAAGACUUGUUCUGAUAUUAACGAUGGAACUAUUAAUAAGUUGGAAAAUUUGUUUGUUCCAAAAAAAAAAAAAAAGUUGGAAAAUUUGUUUUUUAAGAGCAAAAAAAUGAUAACUAUGUCUAUUUACACUAAUCUUGUAUACUUUAUGUCCUAUUAGACUAAUUAUUUUCAAAAUAACAAUAAUACCCUUAAAUUUAUAAUUUUUAAAUAUAAUAAAUAAUGAAUUCGUUUUUUUCUUGUUUUUUUUUUAAAAAAUUCGAUUUUUUUAAAAAAAAAUAUGAAAGUGAAUAUUCCCAAAUAUUUUGUUUCUAUAUUUUUAGUAACUGAUUUCUUAUCCGUAUAAUACAUCUAAUCUGAAGAAAUCGGUUUAUACAGGUUUUUUGAAUAAUAGUAAUGUGUAGAUUUUGAUUUCUACAUGUUUUAGAUUUACAGUAAAUCUGUAGAAGUCGGUUUCUACGUGUUUUAGAUUUAUACUAAUGUGUAGAUUUUGAAUUCUAAAGAUUUUAGAUCGGUAGGUUAAGCGUGAAAUGUGUAUUCUAAAUAUUUUUAGAAUACUUUUAUUUAUGUAGAUCAAAUAUUCUAAACAUUGUAGAUUCAAUGAAAAAAGUUGAUUUCGUUUUUUAUUUCGUAGAAUGUCAUUUCUACUUUAAUUAGAACAUAAUCUGAAAUUUAUAAUUUAAACAUUUUUAGAACUAAAAAAAUACCACUAAGUUCAUAUAGAUAUUUUAUCAAUAGUUAUCAUUUUUCCAAAAAAAAAUGUUUGUAAAACUAUUUAUUAAAUUUAUUUUCAAAGAUAUUAAAGGGUAUUAUAGACAAAACUUGCACAAAAUAUAUAUUAAUCUAAAAAGACAUAGUUAUCAUUUUUUGGUCUAAAAAAACAAUUUUCCCUAAUAAGUUUACUAGCUUAAUUUGCCAAGAGAUGUCAUAAUCUAUUUUUAAAUAGUGUUCACCUAAAUCAAUAGUAAUAGCCUUCUAAAUUGUUAAGCAAUAAACCAAUUUUAGUGUUGUUGUACGUUCAGCUGAUUGUAUCAAUAUAAGUAAAAUUGUAAAUUAUCAGUCAGAUUCGAAUUAUAAUUAAGAUGUAUUUUCUUUUCAGUGUAAGGGAGAGAUUACGUUGAUUUUCUGUAUUCAAAUGACAAACAAAUCAAAACCAUAAUCGGUAGCUGCAUAUUAGACUAAUUAGUUUGGCUUUUAAGCUGGUGUUUGGAAGAUGUCAACACUUAUUAACGUCGUAGGGCUGAAACCUAUAAACCCAUCCUCCUCUUUAACAGCUAUGCCAAUUAAUGUGUUCUUGUGAAACCCAUUAUUUCGAAUAUGCAAACUACCAUACAUGUAAUGACAAUAGAUGAUCAUGAUUUUAAGUUUCAAAUAUUUAAUUAGGGUUAUAGCGAUGAAUCUGUCUAAUCAUAAAUAACCUAGACGUAAGAUUUUUUAGUUUCAAUUGUAACAUGCCAACAUUAAGUUGGUGGUGCGCCGUAUACUAAUCGCUAUUGUUUCUUUAAUCCGGACACGCCAUGCUUUGUUAAUGCUAGUGAUGGAUACUAUUCAAUGGAAGUGGUAUUAGUUAAAAUGGCACGCAAAGUACGCUAACUUUAUCCGUCUAUUUAUUUUUCUUUCCAGUUAAACAGUUCCACCAAACUCGUGCUAAGACUACGACUUUUAAAACAUUAAAAAGUCACGUUAGUCGGCAAGACACGGCCAUAAUACUAAAAUGAACUAAUUCUCACGUGUUUCUUGAACUAAUUUCCAUUAGAAUACACGACAAAACUAACAAUAUAUAUUCAGAUACGUUAAGUUUAAAAUGGGCGAUGGUCACAUUUCUUUUUAAUACGUAAACGAAGCUUCAUGAGAAGCCAAGAGACGUGGUCAUUUUCUUUUCCAAAUACUUAAAUUCCAACAAAAGUAGGGGGAAAUAUAUAAGAAAUAUACUUAUACCAUAGCGCAUAGCGUCAAUGAACAUUAAAAACAAUAAACAUUUAACAAAAUAGCAACAUAUGCUCUUAUAUUACAUACUAAUCUGCGAAAGAUAGGGGAUUCCAAAAGAUUGAGGAGAAGCCAAAUGCGAAACGAACAUCGAUGUCUUGGAUGGUUACAUGACCAUUUGGUUUCGUGUCCCAAUCAAAAAAGGAGAUAAGGGCUUUGUUUAGGCCGAUGUCGGAAAGUAAGGAGAUGUUGAUACUACUCUGCAAACACACAAAAGAAAAAAGGAAAAAAAAAAAGUGAAAACGCGUUUCAUAGUAACAGUUACAGUAAGUUACAGAGAACACGUCAAACAAAAGUUUUAAUUUUCUUUCGACUUUUUAUCAUCACUGAUGAUAAAUCGAAUCAUUUUGUCAGAGAUCACCUUGUCGGAAGUCAACACGUUUUUGCAGCUUCAUAAUAAUCUACGCUUUCAUUUUAAUUUACGUAGUAUCUACGUAUACGUAGAACCAGAAGCAUGUGCUUUGUGAACUACCAGAAGCAUGUGCUUUGUUGAACUAUCAGAAGCAUGUGGUUUGUUGAACUACGAGAAGCAUGUCUAAAAGUUGCAUUAGGCACGAGACCUAACGACUUUAUUUUUUGCCAAAUGAGACCUAAUUUCUUUUCAUGGGUUUAAAUGAAAUAUUUUUAAAAUAAAUGUAAAAGGUCGACGCAGAGAACGAAAAAAAAACUUUUAUUUUGUUUUUGGGUUUAAUAUCUCGGAUGGUAGGAGAACAAUUACCUCUCCUUGCGCUUCUCAAGAAACCUUUGCAGUGACUUCCUCCUUGCGAUGGGAAGAUCUGAACACACACACAAACCCAUUUUAAGUUAGGUGUCAAAAAUAAAUACAGUUAACAAAUGGUGAAUCGGUCCGGUCCAUGAUUUCUGUCGAUUCUUACUAACUUGGUUAAAUGUUGGUAAGGGUAACCACAAACUCUUUUCAUAUCACACGGUUACACUUCUACAUGCAACUAAUAUCUAGUAAUAUUCUACAAGAGUCAAAGCACUGGGUGACUGAUCAUUGUUAAUGUUUCUACUAACCUCCAUCUAUAUUCUGGCCAAAGAGCUUUGUUCUUAAGGUGGUCGGAGGAAUUACCGAGAGAUCUUUCUCCAUAGAUUUGUCUUUCUUUGGUGAUGUUUCCAUGGCCACCUUCAUAAUGUCCUCAGCUUUGUUAGGAGACACUUGGAAAACUGAGACGGUCCCAUUGUAGAAAAUUGUCAUAGGUACAGUUCCAGAGACAAGUUCUGUACUGGGCCUGAGGAGAUGUUUUAUAACAAAAAUUCAAAUAUAUUUAGUUUGCUUCUUGUUGCCCAAAAUGGCAAAAAAGUUAAAAUAAUACUUAACAAAGAAAACAAGAAAAUAACCUGGUGAGAGGGGCAUGGACCGGAGAAAUCAGGAUCCGUUGAUGAUCUUCCUUUGGAGUAGACGGAACCGAUAGAGAUCUGGUCGAGGUAUCGGAAGGGUUAGCACCAGUAGCUAACAGCGAUUUGAUAAUCUCCGGAUCCAUCUUAGAAAUCGCACCUUGAAUUUCUGCAUGAAAAAUAUUCCCAGAUAAAGAUCGUUUAGGACCACACAAAAAAAAGUUAAAGAAGAGAAAAGAAAGAAAGAAAAAAGUACAACGGCCGAACCUCGGAAACUACGACCGCGGUCAAGAAGUUUCUUGAACUUAGGCUUAGGACCGUUGUUGGUCUGCUUCUUCUCAAGACCGAAGAAGUCAAGCUCUGUGGUAACCUUAGACAUGUUUGGUUCUUAUUUCACGUUGAAGCAGAGAGAUAAAGAAAGAGAGAGAGAGGAGAGAGAUAUGAAGGAGAUGAUGUUUUUUUAAGAUGAAGACGCGCGAGAAGAAGUAAUGAUAAAAAAUGAUUUUUCAUGUGAGUUUAAAAAGAAUUUAAUAAAGUGUACCUGUCUAAUAUAACGCACGAGGUUCAUGCCGUGUCAUUAUUUAUGGCACAGAUGGGCAACUCUAACUCAUCCACUUUCUUUUUAGUUUCUGUUUGUUUUCUUUUUCUUUAUUCGAAAUUUUCUUGGUUAGGCUCCUAGUCUCUUCCUAACUAAUAUUUUAAUGAUUAACACACAUGUUAAUGAGAACCUAAUACUACUAUUCAUAAAUAAGAUAUUUAUAUGAUUUUCCCGGAAAUAACGGAUGUCCAAUUGUACUCAUUGUGAUCGUAUCUCAUAAAAUAUCUUCAAAUCCUCCUAUUGGAUCCAAAUAAUUUGUGUGUUAUAUAAACAUUGUCACCUUGGGUUGUUCUGACAUCGUACGUUUUGACGUUAUGUAAUUUGGAGAUCUAUAUCAAUUUCCAGGCAUGAUAAAAUUUAUUAACUUCCUUUUCUUUUUCUUAUGACAUAUUUAUCGAACAGAAAGAAAAUUUUGUUGCAGUGUUUUUCCGAAUUUGUAAUGUAUUGCAUUUGCAUGUACUAUUUAGAAUUUUCAUUACAAAAAGGCCAGCAAAUAGAACAAUACAGCUUUGUGAGGAUCCGAAAAUGUAUUUUCUUGCAAUGUUGGCUUUGUGUUCCUCCGCUGUCACUGUACGUGAUCUGCUGCAAUACUAUACUUUUGCUUAUUUGAUGAGUUUUAUAUUUAUUAACCAGAAAAAGCUAAAGAAGGCUCCGAAUGGUAACUGCAGUUUGACCGGUGUGGGACAAACGGUUUAAUUGCAGUGCGGUUUUAACAGUUAUAAAAGUGUAUAAAUAUAUGGUAUAUGUAGAGAUUUUUGUUACUGUUAACUGCGGUGCAGGACGGGGCGGUUCGUAACAUUCGAAAUCUUCUUUAGCUUUUUCUGUGAAGUUGUCCAUGCGGUAAUUAAAUGUCUUGCAUGUACUUCAAUUAAAAGUGUCCAUCGGAAAAUAGUAUUCCACGACAGAUAUUAAAAGUCAGUCUUACUGAGAUUUCAAAAUGAUCUUUCAUCGUUAUUAAAGAUACAGAUUAGAUUAGUUGACUCAGCUAAUCGAAAUACAUUUCCAAAAAGUUAUUCAUUAUUUUAUUUAAUAAAAUAAUUUCGUUAUUUUAAAGGAUUACAAAGAUUAGACAGUAGAAAGAUGGGGGAAGGAUGCUACACAUGCAUCCCUUUAGACUGUAAUUCCGCGUUAUAAAUUUCUACUUUAACGUUGAUAAAAAAAAUCUGUUUUAAGAACAUUAUUACUGAUUCUGUGUGCUUCCCUUUCCAUUUCGGCUUCAAAGACUGUUUAGGAUAUCUCUAAUUUAUAAUAUUAUUUUAAUAUCAAAAUCACAAAACUUUUUAAAUCCAACAAUAAAAGCUAACGAGAUUCUGUGUGAAAUCACAAUAAAAUAAAGUUUCGGAGUUGUGUUAGAAAUAAUGUAUAACUUUGUUAAUGACGUUUGGCGGGCAAGGGUAGCAAUGAAUUCUCAAUCAUUGGGCACUACUUGGAUAUAAAUUUGCUCAUUUAACUUGAUAAAUCGUUUAGUUUUAAGUUGGUAUAUUUGUUUGUUGCCUUAAGUUACCUUAGAGUCGAUUUUAGCUACUGCCUUUAUCUGGGCUCUUGCGUCUGGAGAUUGUUUAGAUCAUCUUCAUCCCCAUUUCAUAAUUUAUUGUAAAAUAGAGUAAUGAAAAAACAAAAAAAAUGAUUACUAAAUUAUUUUUUAUUGUUUGUUCAUACUCUAUUUUUCACUCUAUAUUUGAAGUAAAUUAUGGAGUGGGGAUAAAGAUACCCUCAUGUAUGUUUCUUUCAAAUAAAAUGUAUUUUCCUGUGAAAAAAAAACUUCGUUAAUGUCGUUUGUUUUUUUAAAAAAAAGGUAUAAUCUCGUGACUAGUCGUGUUUACUCUGGAGAGUCGUGCGAAUAAGUAUAAAUGAAUACAGUAAGAAAAACGAAAGAGAAAGAGUCAGAUGCAUGUCUUUCACGUGUUAGAGAGAUGUAGUUAAUGUUAAGACACCACUAGGCAAGGUGCACUCUUCUCCAUAAGUCUUUAGUGCUUUCGUCGCUUUCUCUCUUUUCCUCACAUUCUGAUUUGACUCAGCCUCUUCUCUCUCUCUGAUUUGACUCAGCCCCUCUCUCUCUCUCUCUCUCUCUCUCUCUUCUCUCUCUCUCUCUCUCUCUCUCUCUCUCUCUCUCUCUCUCUCUCUCUCUCUCUCUCUCUUGAGUCAGUUAAAACGCCUUCUUGAUUUGGAUUAGUUAUUUCAUUCACCUCACGUUUUCUCUGUGCUGGCGGUUUGAUGACGAUAUAUUUUUCAAGCCGACCAACUUGCCCCUCUUAUCUACCUUCCAUAUACCAACUUGCCAUUCAUUUUGUCUUUAAUCUCAUCUACACAAAUUAUUUAACUACUGUAUAAAAAGACCUUUUUACUUUGUUUAUCUCAGCUCAUAAUGUAUAGUUGUAUACUACCACUUUUAAAAGUUGAAUAAGGUUGAUGUAAAAUCUAAGUAACUAUAUACUGAUUUUUUGGUUUUGGGUGUCAAAAUCCACGCCCUCAAACGUGUUACAACCUAUAUUUUCUAAUACAAUCUAUAUUAACUAAAUUCAUAUUAACCUUUCAUUUUGCGUGUUCAUAGUUACAAAAAAUGUAAGGAACUAAAUGUUUAAAAUUCGCCUGAGUUCAGUUUCUUAUAGGAAUUAAAUGACUUUUCUCUCUAGGCAAUUUAGCCUCUUAGGCUAUGGCCCAAGUGUUUACCCUUCGGUUUGCUUAAAAAGUCUAAAGGGACAGGUUCUAUCAAAAUUCUCGAGGAAUGAUCAAACUAUCAGGCCUUUCAAGCCCAAUAUUGGGUGGGGCAGGAAAGCUCGUAAAAUGGGAUUUAUAUUUUGAGCCUGUUUCGAGAAAAUUCGCAAGGAGAUGCAUUCAACUGCAGUUAAAAAUCUCAUUUAAAGUACACGCGUAAUCGUCAAAGAUAGAAUUAGACUUGCCAUUAAAGAGUCGUAUUCCGUUUCGCAUUGACCUCACAACCAAGUUACAUCGAAAGAGUAUAGUCGGAGUUUUAAUUUCGCGCCGGGAUUGUACCGCCAAACGUUAUAUACCUUUAUUUAUGACGUUAAAAAAUUUAUUCAGCAAACGUCAAAAAAAAAAACCAAAAGCAUGAAUCUUUCAGUCAACAACGACAAGCUUGCUAUACUCUUCCUUUGAUAUAGCAGCCUCCAUAAUAGCCAUGGGAUUAAUCUCUCCAUCAUUAUCCAAAAACAUCUUGAUCAGAUUCUUCGAAAACCCACUCACCAACGCUACUCCCUUCUUGCUCCCACUCACCGGGGUCGAACUCGAGUCCCUCAAGUUCCAAAACACUAUCUCCGGCACCACGUCACCGUACCCUGCCUCCCUAUACUUUAUAGCAAUCGCCUCGUAGUCCGUUUCCCAUGUAUUCGCGACCUGUCUAGUACCACCAUAAUAAGACACCGAAGACGAGGUCGCGGCUUGAUCAAACUCCAUGUCGCUGAACACGAACACUCUCUUGAUCAUCUCCUCCGGCUUCAACCUCCCAUCGACGGCAACUUUGAGAAUCAGAUCAAACACCUUCUGAAAAUCAGUGUUCAUCCCCCACUUCAUCCUCCUCACGAACCUCGUCUUCGUCCUCAGAUCAUCUCCCUCCACCACCUGAAGCUCGGGAUCGCCGCUGAACGUUAUCAUCUUCCCUCUCCACGGCUCCUCCGUCAGCUCCGAGAUGAGAAGCCCCAAGGCGACGGAGACCUCCAUCGGAUCCCCGGUCAUGGACCCCGAGACGUCGGAGAUCGCGAUGCAGCUCGUUAAGGAGCCUUUCUUCUUUAAAUCGUCCACCAUUCGUUUCCACUGCAGCUCGACGACUUGUCCGCCGUCGCCUCCUUCCAGCUCGCCGAUGAUCUCGUGAGGUAAGACAGCGCCGGCGGCGAUCUUGGUAUUCCCUUCUCUCGCGUCGGCUAGAUACUUCUGAAACCUCUCCGCGUCGUGGUUUAAGAAUAUCUCCUUGUAAGACUUCAUCGCCACGGAAGCUACUCUGUUGUAAGGGAGAGAGCCCCAUUCUUUAGCUCCCAUGUAAACCUCUGGUAGCUGCAGAGUCUUUCGUAACGGAACAAGAACUUGUUUCCUUAAGCGGUCACGCACUCUGUACGCGUAGUGAGCUUCCUCCACGCCUUCGUACUCCGGGAAAGAUUCGCGAGGGAAUAUUCUUCUAGCGAUGCUCUCGCAGAGAAGAGUCGCUUUGUCGAAGGAAGAGUCCAACGACGGACACCACUUAGCAGCUAAAGAGAUCUUGUUCGUUUCUCCAGACGCCAAGAACUCGAGAUCUUUCUUUAAGUAGUCUGCGAAUAGAUCGGAGACGCGUUCGUGGAGGAAACGGUAGUCCGGAUCUUGAGAGUAUCUAGUGAAAGCUUUCUUCCCCAUUGUAAUCUUCUCAAGCUUGCGGUCCAAUCUAGCUUUCGCCUUCUCUUCUUGGUUCCUCUUCUCAGCAUUAGCUAUCCUCAUCUCCCUCGUAGCCGCCGGCUUCUUACGUCCACGACCCUUAUGAGAGGAUCUCGACAAAUCAAUAAAGAAAGGAGCUCUUGCUCUACCUCUACCUCUACCUCUACCACCUCCAGAUCGAGGCGCGGAACGACGACCUUUCCUCUGUAGCCAUUCAGACUUCUGAACCCUACGGAUCUCAAACCCUUUCAGUAUCCUAUAAAGAAUCUCCGGAAAGUCUUUAAAGUAUCCAAACUUGGAUAAAGAGUCGAGGUUACACGCCAGGGUUUUGGGGUGGCAACCGUGUAGCCACAGCGCCGCCGUGUAAAACCCUUCCUUGUCUGACUUUCCUGUGCCGCGGACUCCGCGAAGGUUACAGAUAAGCUUGAGGGUGGUCAAAGCGUCGUGGCUCCAAGCCGUGGAGAGUCUCUGCUCUAUUGAUUCCUUGGGAGUGCUGGGAACGACGUGGAAGAAGAAGUCGAGGCAAGGGUUACCUGCGGAUAGGUAGGUCGCGGCUCCGUUCUCGGUUAGGCCCAUGGGAGGAGAAGGGGAGACGUUGACUUUGGUUGACUUGUUGAAGUUUGAAACCAUUAGGUCCAUGAAUGGAUCUCUGGGACUAGAGGUCGGGAGGGGAGAGUUGGAGUCUUUAAGCUCCGGGGGACCAAGCAAAGGUGAAGCCAUGGUUACUUUAGAGAGAGAAAAAAAUGAUUUUGUUAGAAGAGAAGGUGAUGAUGAUGAAAGUCGUGAGUCUUGUUGGUUUUAUUUAUAAAAUUCAAAGACUUGGAGAUCAAGUUCUUGAUCCGUAUUUUCCGUGGAGUGGAGGCGCAUAUAAACCGACGUUUAAAAGUCUCAAAACUUAAAAACUAUUUUUGAGCCCAAUAUAAGGCCCAUUAAGUGUGAAUCAUCUUCUAGAAGGGAUGUCUUGGGUUGUUAAGGCCCAUUAAUUUUCAGUGUAUCAUCUGUUCUAAAAAUGGAAUCAAUAGUCUGAUAUGCUUGGAUCUGUUUUGCAGUUUGAAACUUGGUAUUCUUUUGAUACAAAUUCACUCUUGGCAUUUUUGUUUUUAAGAAUUCUUAACUUAAGAAAACUAUCAAUGGAGGACUAAUUUUAGGUGUUUCUUAACAUAAUCUUUUAACGUAAUUUUAAUACUAAAAUAUUGCCUAAGAACCCACUUAGGGGUUACUGCAAUGAACAUACUUUAAACCGACAUUUAUGAAAAGACUUCAACCUUAAAACAAUUUUGAGCCCAAUAUGUCUUGGGUUGUUAAGGCCCAUUAAGAGUGAGUCAUCUUCUAGAAGUAAUAGGUCCAUAUCUCAAAGAGAAAAGUCAGAGGAGAAUCCUUCAAAUAAAAAUCGCAAUUCGGACUUUUCCCUUCCGCGUAAUUUCCCAGGAAAAAUCAAAUUUUCGUGGAAUCAGCUUCAUCCUUUCUUUUAUACUUAUUAUCCUCUCGCUGCUGUGUGCAUUUGCUUCAUCUCAAUCGUUGAAAAUGUCGAAAGAAGGAGAACCGGUGAUCGGAGUACCGUAUUACGCGGGGCAGAACCCGUACCAGGCGGGGAUCGUGCCGCCGAACGCUAUCUAUGGAGAUCCGAUGGGAGCUCCGAUCCAGCAAACGUUUUAUCGGGAUACUCCUGCUCCUUUCAAUUGCCUCUAUUGCGGCAAUACUGGUCUCACCCAUAUCAGGUAAACAUUAUCUAUAUACAAACCCCUUACACGAUUCUUAGAUUUUACGGUUUGUAAUCGUUCUACGACUUGAGCAUGCGAUCGUCUAUGUGAAUCUGCAAUAACAAUAACUUUGCCAGUGAUUUUUGAGUAGGAGAUGUUGAAUUUCGAUUGUUUGAACUUGGCUGCGUCCUUCAUUAGCUACACAAUAAUGUUUGAUUGAGAUUGAUCCACACCACUUCUUGUUGUGCGUGCGUUUAUUGUUACAUUAAUCGAGUUUAUUUACUUGAGGAUCUCUUCUAUUUUUUAUAACACCUAGGUGAAUGGGUUAUUGAUUUACGCUAUAAGCAACUCAUGCAGUUGAUCUUUGUGAUACAUGCUUAUAUAUAUAUUUGGAUUUGAAACAGAUCAAAACCGGGUGUAGCUGCUGUUGUGGCUUGCAUGACUCCGUUUAUGCUUGGAUUCUGUUUUCUCUGCCCUUCGAUGGAUUGCCUUUGGAACAAACAGCAUCAUUGCCCUCAGUGUGGGAAUAAGGUUGUUAUUUUAAUACGUCUUCUUCUUCCCUUUAGCUCUCGUGAUUAAAGAAAUGUUCUGAUUCAAAUGAUUGAUGUGUCUGCAGGUUGCUGACUUUGAGAAAUCAGAUCCCUGCCUGGUGAUGGAUCCGCCGCAGUGGACGCAAUCGAGCUUUGCACUCCCUGCUUGACAAGAUUGCAUUCUUUUCUUCUUCUUGUUAAUAUUACAUGUGAAGUUGAGACCUUGUGUUGCAUGUACCUACAAAAAAUUGAAUAUUCAGAAUAAACCCUGUAAAAUGUGUGAGAAAAGGAAUACAUUAUAUACAAUUGUCUGUAUCGUCCAGUGAUUCGUGAAUUGAACCGUCUAGUGUUUUGACUCUUGUCCCUUCUUUGGAUAUCAAACACUUGGCAGAUUGAUUCUUUUCCUCUCGAGAAACCCACAGGUAAGGAUAGUGUGAUGGGCUGGGCCGGUCCGAUCCCUUUUAAGUCUUUUCGAACCACGCUUGUUAUUGCUCUGUUUAAUGUUUUUUCAAGCUUAUUCUGGUUUUGGGUAUACAAGUUCAAAUUAUAACUGACAAAACCUUGUGAACAAAAAAAAAAAAAAAAAAAACUGACAAAACCUAAAUCUUCUCUUUUCCUACAUCUUUUUUGAAUCUGUUUGAAGUUUGUAGAUUUUUUUAUCUAAAGAUAGACCAGCUAAACAAAAUUGAGUCCAAUCAAAGUUUAGAUGAUAGCAACUUCUCAUGUCAAAACUGUAUUAUUGGUUGUGUUUAAAGCCCUAGACAAUAAGUAUUCUUGUUAUACUUCCCUGUCAAUAGAGGUCAUAUAGAUAAUAGCAACUUCUCUUAUGUUAGGAUGAAGCAUAGUACAAACUAUUGACGCAUGAAGACUACUUAUCAACUACAAGAUAUUUUACUGUUUUUUGUUUUCUUUCCUCCAUUCCCUGUUGGCAUAAAGUUUACUCUUUAUCUGUUCAUUUUGGGUUUUACAAAAGUAUUACCCUUCUUAUAUGAGUCUUUGAUAAGGGCAACAUCAAGUCAUGCAAAGAAUCCUUUAGCAACUUGAAUAAAGUUUGAAUUUUCUUUUUGUAAAUGGAUUUUGAUAGACUAAUAAAUAGGGAGUUGCGUGCAAAGGUGAAAAGGCAGAUGGAUUUUUAGUGCAGUACAGAUGUGCAAUUGUAGUUGUCACCACGCAUAUGCAUUGUCUGCUGGUUAUAGCGUUUAAAGCUUAGGCCAUCUCCAACCCAACUCCAAAACACUAUUUUAGUGUGAUUUUGACACAAAAACCUUCUCCAACCCAACACUAAAAAUCACACCAUUUUAGUGCAACACUAUAAUUUUACACCAAAUUUGGUGUGACACUAUUCACCACACUAAAACACUAUUCACCCCACUAAAACACUAUUCACUUAAUUUAUUAAUAAAAUAGACAAUUAAAUAAAUGAAAAAUAAAACUAUAAAUACAUAUAAUAUUAUAAAAUAGCUUUUAGUGUGAAAUUUGGUGUUAUGGUUGGAGAAAAACUUUUUUUUAGUGCUAAAAUUACACUAAAAUAGUGUGGUUUUGACACUAUAAUAGUGUUAUGGGUUGGAGAUGCUCUUAUAUAUCUCUUCUAUUUUGUUGGAAUCUGGGAACUAUAAAGAGUUGCCUCUUCGGCGUUUGAAGUGGCUUAACUUGUUAGGUUCUUUGGGACCAUUUUAGAUGUCUAUCUAUAACAGGAAUUUUAAUGUUUUGACGAAGUUCUGGGAUUAGUUCUUAGCUAUAAAUGUCUAAUCAUGCCUCAGAAAAGGGUCUAUUAAGGAAGAUACAACUGAAUCUUUAAUGGGGUCCAUGGUUUACAAUUUUCUCAAGAUAUUUGUAGAAAUUUCUUGAAGAUUGGAAAAAAAAGAGGACCACAUGGAAGAAAGUUAAACAUGUGAUGUAAGUAAAACUGCUCCUAUAUCAUACCCAUUUGUUAUUUGUCAUUAUGUCUCAGAAAGCUGAAGCUGAUCCUCAAGUCACUCCCUCACAAGGGGUUUUGCUUCUUCACACGCUACCUCUACACAAAAUAUCAAACACUAUCUGUUUGGGUAUUUUUACCUGUAUUUUAAUAUAUAGACCAAAAGAUCCAGAUUAUUUCGGACUAUGGAUCAUGUAGUUUACUUCCCUCUUCAUUAAUCAGCGUGGAAGUCAGGGCCUGGUCGAGCUCCCAUGCUAGAUUCAGUUGGUUAAAUGGAGUUUGUUUAUUUCUUGAACUAUAGUAUCCGACAGGGUGAUAAAUAAACAUCACGAUGCGGUGCGGUUGAUGAUGAUAUAAACCUUAAGUAAUUCAUUAGGGUAUUGAUUAGGUUUGUGUUGUCAUCAAGAAAUGAAUAUGGGAAGAGUCACAUCUCUUAGUUUUGCUUAAAGUCUAGGCAACAUGUCUUUGGGAGCUGACCUCAUUCUCUUCUGUAAAUGCUUUGUAAUAGGGCUUAUGGGAUCAGGCAAGAGCCGUAAAGAGAUUCUGGCACUAAACCCAAAUAAAGGAAAAAAAAUGAUGAAAUAAAUUAUAACAACUCUUGGGUUUAUUCGAGUUUGCUUACCCAACUAUGUUCCAUCUUGUUUUAUGUAGUUUAAUUAUGGUGUGGUAGUUGGGAGUGAACAAAAUACGAAAGGAAAAGGAUUUGGGUACAAGAGAUCUAUAUAUCUUUUUCUGAUGAAUGAUGAUGCAUUUUCCCCACCUUCGUAGUGUUUCUUGUGAAAUUAAUAAUAAAUCUCAGCUUAUUAGUACAUCUUGUCUUUAGGUGUCUCUCAACUUCAGUUGCUAUAAUAUUCUGGAUUAGCAAUUUAACAUUUACUUUCUACGUUUGCAUUUGUAGUUUUUGUUUGCGUGUAGCUUUGGUUUGUUAUUAGUUUUACAAUUCACUACCAGAGUAGAGAUGUUUCCCUUUUUAUAGUUUAAACAUUAAGACAAAAGUUAAGUAAAUCUAAGGCGAAUUAUACAUACAUAUUGAAUGUGGUUGGUGGAAGUGACACAUAACCAUGCAAUGUGAGUAAGAAAAAGGCGUGUGGGUAAUGGCUGAUUUGUGAAGAUGUGUGGGUCUUAGUCUCAACUCUCAAGUCGCAACCCACUUGGAAUUUUAUACAAAUUUGAAUUUCAUAAAACAAGUCAGCCUUAUACGACUCUUCCCACCUUCUCUUCUUCUUUAUUUCUACUCUUUUCUUUAAUAAAAAUUUCGUGAUAUGCACAUGUAUCUGCUAAUAAAUUUAUUAACAAAACGUUUUAGUUUAAUAGAAUUUCAAUUAUGUUUUGCCAUAUUUUGACGUUACUAUGUAUACCCUAUGAUUUAAAUUUAAAAGUAACGUUGGAUAUGUUUCAAAUCACUUAUAUAUAUACACCACACCAUGUUUAUUAAUUCUCUUGUUAUUUUUUUUAGUUUUUUAUAGAAAUUAUUAUGUUUUUGUUUACAAUACAUUGAAUCAGUUGUUAUGGAAGAGUAUUAUACUAUUAUAUCUAUGCAAAAAUCGGUGUACUACGCGGGCCAUAUUCUAACAUAUUGUCCCUAAACGUAUAAUCGGAGUCAAAGAAGUAACUUGUGGGCAAAACAGAACAAAACAUUUGAACAAAUCCACUUUCCACUAUUUAUAGCAAUAAUCCCGUACAGAGCAUCCAAGAAUAAAAUUUUCUUCUUUGCGUCGGAAAUAUAUUGUUCACCCUUCCUUGUGGCAUACGGAACAUGAAAACACAAUCCUUAUACAUAUAUUAAAAAUUGGAAACCAAGUUGUUAAUCAAUUUGACUCGGUUGAUAAGCACUAAGAUGAUUGGGAUUGCUUGCAAGUACAAUAAAUCGCAACUAUAUGCUGAGCACCACUACUAUCGAAUAUGUGUGGACUAGUAAGAAUUAGCAUAUAUAGGUUACGUAUCAGGUAACUUAGUCUUUGCUAUUGACUUCAACUAAUAAAAAUGCCUACACCGACGGGUUUUUUUCUAAAUGCAUUCUUUCAAAGAUUUUUUUCUUAAAAAAUAAUAUUGAUUUAUACGAAUUAUAUACAAAACAGAAUAAUUUUGUAAUUAUAAUAUGAGUAUCUCACUUUUUGUGGAAAAUUGCCUAUAUUUAUAGGUUAGGCUUUUUUCCAAGGCAUAUAAACAUUAGUGGAGAUGAACGAGCGAGUUAUUAAUAUUAUUUUUCAGCAAAAAAAAAGAGUUAUUAAUAUUAUCUUGUUUUUAACAGAGUUGUUCCAUUAAUUCGAAUAUCUAUUUGCGUAUUUUUCUUUGGUAGGUUUUGUGUCUCGCUAGGUCGAACAUUCAUCAGACCGUCACCUAACUUUUCAAUUCAGUUACGUAAGGCAUAGUAAUUCGAUGGAGACCCAAGUAACAGAUGCUGUUGAAACAUAACUCAGUAACUCACAUAGAAUGUUUUUUUUCAACUGGAGUAGGUUUGAAGAUUGGAAUGGAAUCUAUAGAUAGAGAGAGAGAGAGAGAGAGAGAUUUGAUCCUCCUCGAAUAUAUUAUCCUUACGGAACUUGGUUCUUAAUAGGGAUUUUUGAAGCUCUUAAUUAUGCUCUCAUAAAAUAUGUUAUAAAUUUCCAUCUACUUUAAUAUUUGAAUCGAUUCUUGCAUAAAUCUUUCUUUCUAGUCCUUCCAUGUAAAGAAUCCUAUGACGACAGAGAUUGUUUCUCCAUAUUCGUAAGAAAGAAUCGUCAAAGGUGAUAAAAUCUGUGAGUUUCUAUCUUUGUUCUAUUUUCUCCUAGCAAUACAAAUAAUCGGACUACAAGACAUAAUCGGACUGUCGCUAUAGAACAACAAAAAGUGAAAAUUUUCAACUCUCAGUUUGUUUUUUUCAAUCAUAGUAAAAUAGCAUUCGGUAGAAGGUGGGGUAGCUUUUAUGUUCACAGUGAAGCAUUAUAACAUGUUUCUUGUCUAUAUGUUAAAUUACCACAUGACUGAAAUUGCCAAAUUGUUACACGGUGAACUCAUGAACAUCAUAGCUAAAAACAUUUGAUCCCACAAGACAAUGUUAUUUUUUAAUUGGAUUAUUAUAAAAGGUUAUGUACCGUAGUACGUAGUUGUUUAGUACUAAGCUACUUGCCUCACUAUCCUUUAAAUUCAGUGAGCUAUAUACAUAUAAUUUAGUUCAAAUUUAAACAUAGCACAUAAUAAAAAUAACAGAAAUUACACCCCCCCCCCCCCCCCCCACCAAAAAAAAGAAAAAUUAACUUACCACAUUCUUUUUUAAAAGAAAAUUAACUUACCACUUACAAGUUAGGGAAAUAUAAAACCUAACCUAAAGCAUUUUUAUAAGUGGGGACCUUAUGUGAAAUCAGUUUUUUUUUUUUUCCGUCAAGUUUUUUUUAUUAAAUAGAAACGGGCCUAGCCCAAUAACCUUACAAAAUAGCAAGCCCACGGCCCGAUUAGCUAAACAAACACCAAGGUAAAAAAAAACGGGCCUUAAGCCCAACAGCCCAAAACCGACACUGCCCAAAUCCCACGACACAUGUCGGCUUAACUUCUUCUUGUCUCUUACCGGCGGUUCAGCCGACCGGUUCAGAACCGUCGAACUUGUCACGGGGGGCUUCAUCGGACUAACCGAAAGCUCAUCCCCAACAUCAGACGCCAUCUCACGACCAUUAAAACCGAGACUCGAAACCUCAACUCUCCUUCUCUUGUCGUCGUAACCGAUGGUGGAGAGCGUCAUCUUCGACCAAGAGCUCAUCCUUUUUCCGAGCAUACACCUUGACGACAAGAUCCAUAACACCGUUUCCACCAGAACCCAACUAGUACCCAAACCCAAAGACAACAGGUCCUAACCCGACCGCGUAGAGCAAACGUGAGCCUCUACCCUCCGGAACCAAAACCGACAGCGUAGAGCUGUGUGAGCCUCUACCCUUCGGAGCCAAAACCGACGAAGAAGGAGCAUAUAUUACCUCAUCUUCCCGGGAACUUGAACCGGCGUCGGCGAAGCUGAAGGAGCCUCCACCUCCCGGAGAAAAGCCGGCGUCGACGGAUCUGUGGUAGCCUCCAUCUCCCGGAACCACCACUCGAACAUGCAAGCCGAUCUUCUCACGCCAUGGCCUCCACGCGAGCGCGUCGUCCCUCCAAACGAGGAAACCACCUUCGGAUGAUGGCUCCAAUCCAGAGCUCCGACAAGGCACUCAGUGAAAGGCGACGGAGAAGAAGCAAAAAGAAACAUUUUGACGGAAAGAGGAAGGAUCCGGCGGCGGCACGGACGCUCACGCGCCGGCCUUACGCCGGAUCCGAUCUCAGAUCUCCUUUCUCUCUCCUUUCUCUCUCUAAAUCAACUUUUUUGUGUUUGGCUUUCUUCUUUCUUAUGUGAAAUCAGUUCACAUCAUUGUAAACAACCAAUAGUUUUUUUUUCUUAGGAUCUCAGUUUGAAAUGAGUAAUUUUAUAAUUGUGUAGUUUCCACCGAAUAAUUAUGACCUUUUUGACAUUAAAAGAGAUAACUACUCAUCUCACUCUUAUUACAUUUUCUGCACUUUUGACAAAAAGGCUCUCUUUGACAGCCUCUCCGUGCUAUUAUUACCCUUUUUAGUUGUAAUCCUCCAUGCAUAUAUCUAAUCAUACUUACAUAAUACACUUAAAUGCCAUCAAACAAUUAAAAAAGUACACCAAAAUAGGGUAUACACACAGAGACACAAACAUAUUAAUAAUUUCACGGUCACGUGCAGAGUGGGAAUUUUUCCAACCGUAAUAGUUUCCACUUUCAUAAUCAUAAUACAAAUUUAUGUGAUUAAUAAUAACGAGACAUUAUAAGUUUUUAUUAAAAUUAUGAAUGCUUUUAAUUUUCGGCAUGGGAUUGUCAUGUCAUAAACCUAAACAACGUAUAGUAAGCUAUUGCUUCUUCAUCUUUAUUUCAAAUGUGUAUUUUCGGUUUGUGGUAUAGUAUCUCCAAGUAAAGAACAUACACGUGAAAAAACGUACAAUGACUUAUAAACGCAUAUUUAUUGCAAUUGGUAGAUCGUCUGUGACAAGAAUUGUAAUAAAGUUGAUACAUUUUUUCAUGAAAUUCAACUAGUUCAUGAAAUAUAUGUUUUAAAAAAAAAGAUUUUUUUUUUUUUUUUUUGAAAAAAAAGAUUUGAAACAAAGAACAAAGACUCGUUUCCAAGUAAAAUGGAAAAAAAAAAAAGCAGAAUGGUAUUAAUAUAAAAUUGGAAAUUAUUAAAAGAGUUAUUAAAGAUAGUCAACAUUAAAAUUAAAUUAAAGAUUUCGUCUGAAACUAUUGCAACUACUGGUCUCUUCAUCAGAAGAGAAUAUCUCCGUCGUGAGUCCACUUGAAGCGUGGUCGGAAGAAGAAGAGCUUGGCAAAAGGUUCAAGUCUGUGGUCCUUUCUUUUCUCAUGAAAUCGAAGAAGAUUGGUUUAGUUUUAUCUUCAGUUUGGUUUGUUGUAAUUAUUUCAGUAUGGUCAUUAUCAUAUCUUAUAUUCCGGUUAUCUCCCUCGUCGCCGUCGCUCUUGCUGCCAGCUCUCUUUUUAAGGAAGAUACGACAAAGAACCCAGUUCUGAGUAGGACCCAUUGAACUCUGCAGAGAGAACAUGGAAUCUAAAUUUUAGUGAAAUUGAAUGGUGGAGAAAACCGAAGACUGAACCGGAAAUUGAGAAAGAGAGAAAGUUGUACCGGAGGAGAGGAAGAGAGACGAUAUUCGUGCAUGAUCCAAUCGGUUCUUGAGCCAUGAGGUGGUUUGCCUUUGUAGAAAACGAGUGUUUUCUUCAAACCAACGAUUUGAUUUCCUCGAGAGGUCACAACCCGUUUAUCAAUACCGGUAGCUUUCCAAUAACCCGAACCGGUUGCUCGGUUAGACCGGUUCCCAUUUGGGUACUUGGCUUCCCUUGUGCUGAAGAAGUACCUCUCCUUCUCCAAAUUGCCUGGCAGAAAUAGAGAGAGUUUAACAAGCAUGAAAGGUCGCUGGUUCGAAACCUAAAUAGUACAAAAUAGCAAGAACAAAAACCAACCAGGCAAGUCCCAAGGAUCAGCUCUGCAAACAUCAAAGUCAGGAAUGAUGGAAGCUGGUAAUGGAGAAGACAAGACUUUUCUCUUGAGAUACUGAACCACAAGUUCCUCAUCAGUGGGAUGAAAUCUGAAUCCAGGUGGUAAUCUCAUAACACCAUUCUUUACAAGUUUAACCUUAUCCAUAGUUCCAAACAAAGUGGAGAGAUAAAUCACAGAAGGAGAUGGAGGAAGAAGACAGAGUGCGGUGUAGGAAGAGGGAAACAUGGAUGGUAUGUUUAUAUAAGGUAGUAGACGAUAUGAACAACUCCUUUUCUUUAUUAAUUUUCUUAUUAAAAAAACAAUUGUUUUGCGUAAACCAUACUCAAUCUUCUUCCUUUUGACGCCAUUUGCAUAAAUCUAUCUUUUUCAUUUUUCUAAUAUUCAUACUAUAUUUUUUGUCUUCUCAAUUAUUAUUAUUUCUAGUCGGUAUCUACCUCCUCUCUUUUUUGUAUCUUUCCUCAGUAAAGUGUAAACUCUUCAAACACUAACUUUUUUUACUAUAAAUAAUUGUACAUGUAAUCUGAAAAGGACUCCUUUUUUAAUUUGUUCUAAAAUUAUAGCGUAAUCAUACACUCCAACAAAUUAACGUGAGAGGUGAUAAUAUUCUGUUUUUUACUACACACAUUAACCAACCUAAUUAAUAAGAUGUCCAUUCUUUAAUUUGCUUGUUGGGUUUAAACGAAAUUUUCUUUUUAUAUAGCGAUCAAAGAGCACUAUCGUUAUUUACAUGCUUUCGGCUUUAAGGAGUCCGAGCAGGGUUCUUAAUUGCGAGGGCGGGUCCAUUCAGGCCCGUCGCGGCUAAAGCGGUGAUGAUGAGGUCAUCUUAUGUCAUGCUGACAGCCGCACGUAUGCAUACCCGUUUUGAGAUUCAAAAUUUUAAACAAAACAAAGACAAACUCCACCGAUAUUUUAUGACGAUUAUGUGUAUAAAUUUGUGUAAAAUGAGAGGAGGGAGGGAAAAUGUGGGGACUCGUCUGGUGGUUAUGAGAGGGGGACAAAAUCGCAAGCCUCUAGUUUUGAAGUACUUUGGGCAAGGCUUCUCGAUAAUUAAUGUUUUUACAAUGUUCAACACGUUAAUACAUGCAAGCUCAUUAUCCAUCCACAUAUUUAACUACAAUCAUAUAUAAUAUAUCCGAUAACAUGCCUUAUAUCUUGACCUACAAAAAAAAAUAACAUGCCAUAUUCAUUGGAAAAUAAUAAUCCAAGUAAGGAUUUUAUGAAGGAUAUGCUUUUUGUGUAUAGUCUGAUGUUGAAAAAGAAACCUUAAAUAACAGACCAUGGAUACUGAUGAGUAGUCGUCUAUCAUAUAUAUUUUCUCCAUUAUCCCUCUAAGUGACUUCCCUCGUGUUGUGGGGAUUGAAAUUGGUGGUUAGAGUUCGUCACUAAUGCAACUAUUUCUCCUUUUCGUUAUAUAAUCUAUCUAUCGAAAUAUUAUAUACAGUUAUCUUUAUAAAUAUAUAACAAAUUAUUAUGAAUUACUUGAUAUAUUCCGGUAUUCCAUUUAUGUUGUGGGUGCGCUUAUUUAUCAAUACACGGAAAUGAAUGAACUAUAGUUUCUAGUCUUAAAGAGUUUUACAUAAUUGAAUACUAAUAUAGCAAAUGCCCCUUGGCUAAAUGAUAGACAUACGAAUCUUAUUAAACAAACAUUGACAACUCAGACCACUACAAAAGAAGAAAUUAUGGAACUCCUAGUAUUUGAUAUAAACAUCUGAAAUAUCUCAGGAAAGUCGAUGAUUCUAACAAAGUGAAAGAACAAAAUAUAUACAUAUGUAUAUAAAUUCGAACACCAACUUGAUAAUGAAUAGUAGGCACUGUCUAUAUACAGACCAGCGAGACAACAAUAUCCGUGUGUAACAUAUAUGCACAUGGUAUAUGAGAUAUAAAUCAAGGACAGACUACAAAAUUACUUAUAAAUUUUCAGUUUAAUGAUUAAAACUAAUUCACGUAGAUAUAUAGAUAAACUACAAUGAAAUCGAUGUCAAGGGGUCCGUGAAACUGACAGUGUGCUGUAAGUUCCUCCAAUCCCGGUGUCAACCUUCCUGUUUGUAUAAGAUAAAUGUAUCGAUUUCGUCCAGAUAUAUGUUAUCUUUAAAAUAUAACAAAGGCGUGACGUUAUUGUCGGUAUAAUAAUAUUCACUAUCGACACUACAAGUUACCUCUCUAUUGAGACAAGGGAUUAACAAAAUAUGUACAAUAAAAAUAUUAUAUAUAUCAUGGUUAUCAAGGAUGGGUUUUGACCCUUAAUAUUAAAAAUUCAGUGGGGAAAAAAAAUCAUGGUUAUCAAGGACAUGUUCGUCGCUUUUUAUUAAAAGUUAAAACGAUAAGUUCCACACUUUUAGUUUUACUUGAAUAGAAUAACAUGUAUAGUCUUCUACAACCCGUCGUUCUCGAUGAUUCAAUACAAUAUGAGAUUCACGAGAAUAACGUAUUUAUAUAUACGCAAACAAGUUCUUUUUUUUUUUUGCUAACCGAGUAUCCUGGCCCCACCGAGGUGGUCCAGACUAGAGACCGAAGUGAGCAAGGACGCUGCCAGGGCGUCACCAUGUGGCUCACCGUGUAACAGUCUUCGGUCUCGGAUGCUGCAGCCCAUAUGUAAAUUCCGCAGUGGCCAAGGCUCGAACCCAGGGGCGGGCACUCCAGCUGGAGCUCCUAUACCACUAGACCAAAGCAACUUGGUUUACGCAAACAAGUUCUACUUGUAUUUAUAUGUUAUUGUUAUUUUUUCCUUGUUUUUUUUAACUUUAUUUCCUUAUUCAUCAACAUAUAUUGCUACUGCCUCAUUUUACGAUUGGUUUUCAUCAUAUUUUAAUUUUACAGCUGAUCUCUUAAUAAGUUGAUCUGAGGCGAUAGUGCGGUUUGGUUAGCAAUUCAUAUCUAUCUUAUUAAAAUUCAAGUAUAAAAUUGGAGUGUUUGGAGACUUGGAUAGGACUUUUAAAAAUUUAGAGUGUUUGGAAACAUGGAUUGCAGUCUUUUAAAAAAAAAAUAUUUUUGUUUGAAAACAAGGAUAGUAGUAUUAAAAAAAAAAAGUAAUGGGCUUAUGUUUUUUUAAAAAAUUGAAAGUUAUCUAGGCCACUUUUAAAAUAUACCAAAAUGGGUCAAUCUAAUUCCCUAAAAAAAAUUUUUUCUAAACUAACCAUAAAACAAAAUUUAAACUUUAUAUACAUAUUUCAAAUCAAAAUAAUAAUUCAAAUUUGAUUUAUAUCAAAAAUUGAUUCAAAAAUAUACAUAUAUUCAAAAAUGAAUUUUUACUAAACUAUUUUUCAAUAACCAUUAUAAAAAAAUAUUAUCAAUAUAUAUAAGAAAAAUAUAAUACAAAGCCCAAUUUGAAAUACCAACUCAAAUUAUGGUUUUCAUAUUUCAUAUUAAGUUUUAAAAAUAUAAUAUAUGUAAUUAUUUAUAUGAUGGUAUGUAUAAAAUACUAUUAAUUAUAUGAUUACUUAUAUGAUGGUACAUAUAAAAUACGAUUAAUUAUAUGAUGAUAAAAUACGAUAUAUAAUAAUGACUAGGGAUGGGCUUUUGGAUACCCAUACGGGUUUAGUUCUGAUCGGUUUGUAUUUUGGGUUUUCGGGGUCAAAGAUUUCAGCCUUAUUAGAAUGUUUCUAAAUUUUAGUUUGAGUUCGAUUUGGAUCUUUGCGGGUUUGGUUUGGGUUUGGAUAACUAAUUUAAAUUAUUUUUAAAGUCUUAAAUCAUUAUAUAUUUUAAAUUUCUCAAAAUGUAUAAAUAAAAUAAUAUAUUACGUAUAAAUUUGAAUAACAUAUGUCAUAAUACUUAAACUUAACAUAUCAAUUGGCUUGAUUUAAAAUUUUGGAUACGAAAUCAAUAAUUAUUUUAAGUAUUUUUGGUGAUUUGAGUAUAUUUUAACUAUUUCAGAUAUUUACUUUUGACUAUCUAUAUAUAUUUUCAAGUAUUUAAACCAAUUUAAAAGUAUCAUUUUUGAUGUUUUAUAUACGUUAAAUCUAAAAAUAAUUAAUAUAUAUAAGUAUAUAAAUCUAUUUUUAGAUAAAUUCAGAUACUUAAAUACUUCGGUUCGGAUCAGAUUCGGUUCUCUAAAUAACAAAAUUUUGAAUAAUUAAAAUAUUUAAUCAAUUUAUGUUUGGGUUUGGUACUAUAUCUUUGGAUCGGUAUCGGUUAUGUUCCUCGGAUUCAUUUUUCCAAAUCCUAAUAAUUACGUGAAAAACAAAUAUCAACAUAUUUUUCAAAAUAUACAUCCGCGAGCCUGCGCGGGUCAAGAUCUAGUUAAUAUUACGAUCGAUACAGACAAUUCUUAAUAAUGGUAUACAUUUACGAAAGCAGUUCUUGUAAAAGAAAUGUUAAUAUGCCUAAUUAUAUAUGUGCUUACUUUUUAGGUUAUUUUAUCAUACAAAGUACAUUAUCAAAUAACUCGGAAAUUAGUUAUUAUAUUUGGUUUUAGUGUUAAUAGCUAAUUUUUUAUUAAAUAUGUUAAAUAUUGGUGAUGAUUGGUUAGACUAAAAUUAGUUCUUUAGAUUUAUGUAUUUUUAAAAUCACUAAUCUUAACAAAUCACGAUUUAGCUUUAUUUUAAAAUUUUAAAUCUACAGUUAACCUUUUUACAUCAUUUGUUUUUUAACCAGUCUUUAAAUGAUUUAGUUAGUCUACAAAAGCGACAACAUCUAUAUCCUUUUUAUUCAUGUUAUAUUUUAUUUUUAAAGUAUUUAUUAAAUUAUUUUAAAAGUUGUAUUAUUUUUAUACCGAAAAAACAUACAGCUAACUACAAUAAUAAAAACUACAAACUAAAUCCUACAACAGAACUUCUACAUCUACAAUCCAACCAGUUAUCACCAUUGUUUUAAGAGUUACCAAUAUAAAUUUAAUUUAUACAUGUUAGAAGGAUGUAGAUCUCAUUACCCACCAUUUAGAAUUUUUCAUAAUGGACGUGACCGAGUUUAUCAGUAAUGAAAUAAAUUAGUUUUUUUUUUGGUAUUUUUGUAUUUUGCAAAUAACAUGCAUUAUACUCCUUAUGUUUCUAAAUAUAAAAUGUUUAACUAAAAACAUACAUAUUAGAAAAUAUCAUUAAAACUAAUAGUAUUUAACCAGUUACAAAAUAGAUUAUUAAAAUAUGACUGAGUACAAAGUUUUUAAUAAAGUAAAAAUUACCUAAAAAAAUAAAAACAUCUUAUAUAUUGAAACAUCAAAAUUCUGUAAAACAUCAUACUUUUAGUAACAUAGGAAUAUAGAUUUAAAGAUGUGUGGUAGUCAGUAAUCUAGUGACAACCCUAUUUGUACAUACAUAUAUUUAAUGCAUUAACUUAAAGUACUUAACCAAUAUUAAUACUCACACGAUGUAAAUUAUUUUCCCCCUAUGUUCAAGAAAGGGUGAAGAAAAAAGAGAGAGAAAAGAGAGAAAAGUAAAUCUCAAACCGGGCUCGGUGGUCGGCCGGCGCGUGAGCGUCCGUGCCGCCGCCGGAGCUCUUGUUCCUUCAGUUAAAAAGCUCAGUGUGUCGUGUAAUAUCUCCGGGAGGCGGAGGCUCUCACAGAUCCGUCGCCGCCGGUUUUGUCUCCGUGGCGGGGAAGCUUUCUCAGUUCCGACGUCAUCGGUUUUAGUCUCCGGGGGGUGAAGGCUUCUUCAGCCUUGCGUCGCCGGCUUCGUCCCCUAGUAUGUAGGGUUUAGUUUAAGAUCUAGUGUUUUCUUUCUUUCUGGGUUGGUUUUUUUGUUUCGGCGGUUUGUGUUUUCGUCGGAGGACAGUGAAGUGCCCCGUUGGAAAGGGCGAUGAUGCAUGUGACGACUUUGCUUUGGGUGUUAUGUGGUUAAUGGUGGUGGAUGUGAUCUCGCCGCGGCGAUUGAUCCUUCCCGAUACUAGAUCCCAAAGACGGUUUGAGGUGUAAGAGAGUCGGAGCGAUGAAGCUCCGGUUGGCCGGGGGAUCCGUUGGUUUGGAUCUCCGGUGUCGAUGGAAGCGGUGGUGACGCGUUGGCUUCGGGACACGUGUACCCUCGUCGGCGAGGAUGUUAACACGUGUCCAAGCAAAGCGGCCGAAGCAAUCUGCCUUAGGUCACUAGGGUUUUCCAAGUUGGGCCGAAGGUCUGGGCCCAAUUGGGGAUUGGGUGUGCCCGUUUAAUUGUCUUGGGCUUUAGUGUUUUUCUUUGUACUGGGCUUGGCCCGUUUUUUUAAUUAAAAUCAUCCAGUUGGAAAAAAAAAAUAUUAAUACUCACACAACGGAUUGAAGUCCUCGGAAGCGAAGAAACAUUGAGGGCACUGUAGUACAUAGAAAUAAGGUAGAUGAAGGGGAAUAAAAGAUGGAAGGGUCCUACGUGAUUCCAAAACGACAGCCUCACACAACGGAUUGAAGUCCCGGAGAUGAAAAAUGUGAAAAUGCAAUGCAACCAAACAAUCUCUCAUCACUCUCUCUCUCCCGAUUUCCCAGAUCUUCUUUGUCUCAAAUUUUCUAAUAACAUUCAAUGAAUGGUCCCUUUCAAAAUUGUCAAAAAUGCCCUCUAGUAUUUUCAACGUCAUAUUUUAUUCUCAAUUUUCUUUAUUUUUUUCGAAAUGAUUGAUUUAGAAUCUAUCUUAUUAAAACUCAAGUACAAAAUUGGAGUGUUUGGAGACUUGAAUAGAACUUUUAAAAAUUUGGAGUGUUUGGAAACAUGGAUUGCAGUCUUUUAAAAAAAAAUAUUUUUGUUUGAAAACAAGGAUAGUAGUAUUAAGAAAAAAAGUAAUGGGCUUAUGUUUUUUAAGAAAAUUGAAAGUUAUCUAGGCCACUUUUAAAAUAUACCAAAAUGGGUCAAUCUAAUUCCCUAAAAUUUUUUUUUCUAAACUAACCAUAAAACAAAAUUUAAACUUUAUAUACAUAUUUCAAAUCAAAAUAAUAAUUCAAAUUUGAUUUAUAUCAAAAAUUGAUUCAAAAAUAUACAUAUAUUCAAAAAUGGAUUUUUACUAAACUAUUUUUCAAUAACCAUUAUAAAAAAAUAUUGUCAAUAUAUAUAAGAAAAAUAUAAUACAAAGCCCAAUUUGAAAUACCAACUCAAAUUAUGGUUUUCAUAUUUCAUAUUAAGUUUUAAAAAUAUAAUAUAUGUAAUUAUUUAUAUGAUGGUAUGUAUAAAAUACUAUUAAUUAUAUGAUUACUUAUAUGAUGGUACAUAUAAAAUACGAUUAAUUAUAUGAUGAUAAAAUACGAUAUAUAAUAAUGACUAGGGAUGGGCUUUUGGAUACCCAUACGGGUUUAGUUCUGAUCGGUUUGCAUUUUGGGUUUUCGGGGUCAAAGAUUUCAGCCUUAUUAGAAUGUUUCUAAAUUUUGGUUUGAGUUCGAUUUGGAUCUUUGCGGGUUUGGUUUGGGUUUGGAUAACUAAUUUAAAUUAUUUUUAAAGUCUUAAAUCAUUAUAUAUUUUAAAUUUCUCAAAAUGUAUAAAUAAAAUAAUAUAUUACGUAUAAAUUUGAAUAACAUAUGUCAUAAUACUUAAGCUUAACAUAUCAAUUGGCUUGAUUUAAAAUUUUGGAUACGAAAUCAAUAAUUAUUUUAAGUAUUUUUGGUGAUUUGAGUAUACUUUAAUUAUUUCAGAUAUUUACUUUUGACUAUCUAUAUAUAUUUUCAAGUAUUUAAACCAAUUUAAAAGUAUCAUUUUUGAUGUUUUAUAUACGUUAAAUCUAAAAAAUAAUUAAUAUAUAUAAGUAUAUAAAUCUAUUUUUAGAUAAAUUCGGAUACCCAAAUACUUCGGUUCGGAUCAGAUUCGGUUCUCUAAAUAACAAAAUUUUGAAUAAUUAGAAUAUUUAAUCAAUUUAUGUUUGGGUUUGGUACUAUAUCUUUGGAUCGGUAUCGGUUAUGUUCCUCGGAUUUAUUUUCCAAAUCCUAAUAAUUACAUGAAAAACAAAUAUCAACAUAUUUUUCAAAAUAUACACCCGCGCGCCUGCGCGGGUCAAAAUCUAGUUUUUUUUAUAAAUAAUGUCUAAAAAGGGUGAUUGAAUCUAGGACUCAACCUGAUUGCUAUUGCUUUUAUAUUCCAAGAAGACAAUUUAUACGAAAAUAUCAUAUUACUUUAUCUCAUAACACAUACACCAAUAGUACUUUAAUAUAUUAAAAUAAUACAUAAAUUUAGAAGAAAAUACAAACAAACAAAAAUUAGAAAUUUAACUUGAAGAGAGAAAGUAUAAUAAUUGAACCAUUUUCGUUUUCCCACAAAAAUCAUCUAAUAGUUUACUCUAUUUUUCUCUCUAAAAUAGAUUAACUCUAUAAUAAAGUUAGAUGUUGCUCCAAUAAUACUUUAUUUUAGAGUAAAAAAUAGAAUGAUGAACAAAAAAUAAAAAAAACUACGCUAUAUAUAGAAUAAAAAAUAGUUUACACUUAUAGAGUAGAAAAUAUAGUACUAUUUAAUUUUUUCCUAUUGGAACAUUUUUACUCUUAACUCUAUUUUAGAGAGAAAAAUAGAGUGGGGUUGGAGAUAUCCUAAAUUUAUAGAGUUACAUGCUUUUUAGAGUAUCUCCAACCCACCCAUAUAUUUGCCUCUAUAUGCUAUAAUAGAGUAAAAUAUACUCCAUCCCACCUCUAUUUAAUUUUUUUCCCUAAAAUAAAGAUUGUUAUUUUCUUCUCUAUAUUUAGGGGAAAAAAUAUCAUUCAUCUAUAAUAGAAACAUACUUUUUUAUUUAAACAAUAGUCCUUUAACCUUUCUAUGAUUAUAACUAAAAUACAUAUUUAUGUAGAAAUACAUUAUUUUACAUAUAAAACCCAAUUAUUUUUUGUGUACAUCAUAUUCUUAAUUAUUACAGUUAUAAAUAAUAUAAAUAAAUAAUAAUAUUAUUUUAUUUGAAAGUCAAAUUUUUAACAAAUAAUACUUAAAUUUUAUAUUUGAAACUAAAAUUAUUAAUUAUAGUUUACUUAUUAAAAAUUCCACAUAGAUUUACAUAUUGAUAACAUAUUUAAGUUGAAUUUAAAUAUUAAUUAAUAUAACAUAUUAAAAAAAAUAUAAUAUCCUCGUAAAUUACUUCCGGAUCUACAAAGAUCGUUAGAAUAUUCUUCAAAGGAAAUGGAUGGACAUGGAACUUGUUGAUUUUUUUGCUUCAAAUAUCAGAUGGUGAAGAUAACCGAUUCCAAGAGUUUUUUAGUCGAUUCAAAAAUAUCAAAGAUAAAAAAAAAAAUCUUAUUUCUCAUUUCAUAAUGCAUUAAUUGAUUAUUUAUGAGAAAAGUAUAAUGAUGGUUAGAUAAUGUCUACUUUGUUUCAUUAUUUUUGUUUAAUGUUUUCUUUAAUAAAAUCUUUAAAUUAAAUAAUCUUUCACUUUUAUGAAAAUUUCCCAAAAGAUAUAAUCAUAUAAUGAAUGGGUUAAUUUUCAAUUUUUGUAAGUUAAAGAGUGUUAAUUGUAAAAUUAAAAAAGAACCUUUUAAGAAUAUUUUUUUAGAGGAGAAAAUAGAGGAAUACAUUGGAGACAAAUCCGCUUCUAUUAUAGAGUUCUUCUAUUAUAGAGGAAAAAAUAGAAAAUUACAUUGGAGAUGAUCUUAUAAAGGGUUUAUUAACUUGCAUGGAAUCAUUUUUCAAAAAAAAAAAAAAAAAAAAAAACUUGCAUGGAAUCUAUGGUUAGUUUUGGAAGAACAAAAACAAGGAGUCUACAAAAUAUGAAAUAAGUAAACAUUAAUUUCUUGCCCCUCUGUAUUAUUACUUUUAUUUAUUUAUAGUAAAAAAGUUGGAAAUUAGGAAAUAUAGAUAAGAGAUCCCCACAAGCAAAAGGAAAAAAAGAAGCACGCACACGCACCCCACUUGCGACUUGGUCAUCAAUGGUCUACAUUGAGAAAUAUCAAAUUAUGAUUUCGUAAGUAAUUUUGCGGCUCCGAUUUUUUUUUUCUUUGUAAUAUUCAAAUUUCCAUCUGUAGCUCAGGCGUACCGUAUGAUUUAUGAAUGUGUUAUAUGAAAAAUGUGUGUGAGAGCGUCAACGGAGUUUGCGUGAAGAUGUUGGAAUGCAAGUGAGAAACGUCAAAGGGUGCAACUAUAACCAAAUGAUUUUGAAACCCUAUAUGCUUAAUGGUUACGUUUUUUUAAGGUUCCAUGUUCUAGUGGUUUCGUCCUAGACUCAAUUUUCUAAUAGUUGAGGGUUCGAUCUCUCUUUUUUAUAAUAGUUGAAUUUAAAAUAUACGUUUAUAUAAACUAUUAUCAACUGGUAUCGACCCACUAGACCUUCCAUAGUUAUAAGAAAUAUGUCUCAAGGAAAAACAAUUGUAUCGCAAAGCUAUAUUAAUAUCAAUGUUCUAAAAUUUAGUUGAUAUGACCACAUAUACGGUGUAUAUACAAUAUUCAGUAGUGCAUUAUACUGUUUUUUUACUAUACGGUAGAAUAAUACAAUGAUGGUUUGGACGAGCGCAAAUACUUCGUUUAUACAGUGUAAUACGGUGUUCAUACGGUGUUUAUACGGGUUUUCUAUGCUCACAGUUUAUAAGAUAUAUUUUUAAAGAAAUUUAUGUAAACAAUUAUAAUGUACUUGUUUGAUUCUUUUGAUUUCAUGUGACUUUAUUCAUAUCAGUUUAUCAAUUUAAUUAUGUUUGCUAUAUAUUUUAUUAUUUACAUAUAAUUUAUAUAGUUAUUUUAUUUAUUACUGUAAUAUUUAUUUAGAAUAUAUCAACCGUAUAUACUUCUGUGUAUAUAUCUAAGCGCUAUACAUUAAUCAACUGCCCGGCUAACGUAGAACACAUAUUAUAACAUUAAUUAAUAUUAGUACUUUUCAUACCCGCGAUGAAUGGUUUUUUGUCUGGUUCAAAAAACCAACAAACAAUAAUAAUUAUGCAAUGAUUUCUUAAUCCUGCAUACAAUGCACGUACAAUCAACCAUAUGGCAUCUAUGACCGAUCCAAUAUAGUUACAAAGUUUGUGUAAGAUCAUCUCCAAUUCAUUCCACGCCUAUUUUUUCUUUUAUAAUUUCUACAAAAAUAAAAUAAUUCUAUUAUAGGAUAAGUUUUAUUCUAAUAGUUUAUUUUAUAAUAGAGUUAUUUUAUUUUCUCUUCUAUAAUAGAGUUACUUUAUAAUAUAGUAAACUAUUUGAGCAAAACUUAUUUAUGAUAGAGUUACUAUAUUUUUGUGUGAAUUAUAAAAAAAAAUAGGAAUGAAUUAGAGAUGCCUUAAGUAAAUGUUUGAAUCAGUGCACCUUUUUACGUGAAUUAUAAAAGGAAAUUUGAUAUAUUCUUUUCUCGAAAAUAUUUAUUCACAAGAUUAAGAAAAGAACUCGUUCUUUUUUUUUUUUUUUUUGUAAACUAAAAGAACUCGUUCUUUUGAUUCAAAUAUUUAGAAAUGUUUAUGAAAUGUGUGUAUUCUGAUAUUAUUAUUUUAUGUCCCUGUUGAAAAAACACACACAUAUAUAUUGAUACCCCUUAGUUUGAAAAUAAAUUAAUUGAAUAAAUACAUAAUAUACACUGUUUUAAAAAAAACUGUUUGGAUUAAAACAUUUUAGCUUCUAGAAUCAAAUGAAGUACAUAUAUUUGAUUUCUCCGGAAUCGGAUAACUAUACUAAAUUUUUUAAGUCAUUACUUACAAUCGAUAUCGAAGUUGACUAUAUAUAUUUUUUCUAUAGUAAUUAAUAUAUUUAACGGAGAUAGGUUUUGCUUUUAUUCUAUCUCAAUGAUCUCAGUUUCUUCAUUUUGAAGCUACACUUUGUCAACCUCAAAGUUGCAUUCCUCUUUUCAUAAAGAAACUUUCAUUAGUAUUUUUGUAUUUCUUAUACAUGUAAUAUAUACAUAAGUUGUCAAAUGCUUUAUAGCAAAAAAAGGAAGGAAAAGUCUUUAAAUGAUUCCAAAUCUCUCUUUAAUUACUCUGGAUUUGAUGCCUUCAAACAAAUUUUGAUAGACCAAAAUUAUAGUAUAAAUGUGUUCAUAUAAGUAUAUCAUAAUUUGAGAACGUGUGACUACUACAUAUUAUAAUUGUAACACAUACGCUUCUAGACCGAAAUAUUUUAAUUUUCUGAGUUUUAUUUGACUUUGUUUGUACUAGUACAAAUCUAUGAUAAUGGACUUCAGCAUAAAUACUAUUUAGGAUAAUGUCACUAUAUGCUUACACAAAAUAUUACUAUUACUGUUCUUUUUGCUAAGAGACUUGGGCACUAAACAAAAAAAUCAAAUUACUUAACGUAUAUUAAUCUCAAUACGAAACCUAAGUAUACACAGCAAGGUACUGCAGCUGCGUACGUCAUAUAAGUGAUCUUGGAAGUUGAAGAAAAACCCACUAAAAGAAAUACAAUCCUUUUAGGUGAAGCAACCUGAAGAAUGAAACUACUUUUGAAAUAUGUUUUAGUUGAUUACUUUCAUAACUUUAGGUGUGGACUUGAACAUUGUAUGGCUUUUUAUGGCAUGUGACUGAACAACUUCAAAACUUAUCAAAAGAUGUUUUAUUUAUUCUCUCACGUGUGUUGCUACCAAUCCGUGUGCCAACUUUCUCUUCUUUUUCUUGGGAAAGAGAAAAAUAGUUGUGCUUUUGAGAAGAAAAAGAAGUUGUUUCGUUGAUGCUUAUUCCAAACUUGAAAUACACAAAUUCCACCUAUGAAAGGUUAUUCUUUCAUCUUCCCCUCUUUUUUUUUUUUUAGCUCAAAUCUCAAAAAGCAGAAAGAAAAAUUACACUAGAGAUGAAUUUUGUUCUCAUUAGAGAUUUAACAUUAUAGUUUAAAAUCGAGUUUGAUAUGAUUUUGUUUCGGUUUGGUCUAGUUCAAAUUAAUGAAAACCUACAUAAAUAUUAUUUCGUUUGGUUUGGUAUGCGUUUUCUCAUUUUGGAUUACUUAUUUAGUUUGUUAUAUUUAUAUUUGAUUAACUCUGUACUAAAAAAUCAAACUUCAUCUCUGUUUGGCCCAUAUAGUUUGGGUUUUAAAUUAUGUUUUUUUCUAAGUUCGUAGGCCGUAACAAUGUGUAAACUUUAACGAGAAAAUAAAAUUGUGCAAGUAUGGUUUAGCCUGGGCCUGUGUGAGGACUUCUGUGAAGUCUAUGAUUCAAUAUUUGAGGGUUGUUGUUGAGGCGAGGUUAUAAUGUUAUUGAUGGAAUAGAAAACACAUUAGGUCAAGUGAUGUAGGCCAAUUAUGACUUGUUGGGCUCUCUAUGAGACUGCAAAUUAUUACAGCUCUUUCCUGUAUGCGUAUUAUUGAUUUUAGAGAAUUUUUGUACUAUACUACAAGCAAAGAAAUUCAAUAGCAAAUUCAGCAGUCCAAACCGAAGAACAACUAGAAAUAUUGGGUUUAAUAUAUAUAUGUUGAUGAUAUCUCUAAGAUGCUGAUUAGAUGCUAUCUUUAUCAUAUUAGGAAAUAUUGAUGUAUAUUUAUUCGGCUAUGCAUUGAAAAAAACACGCAAUCGUAUAUACUUGAUUUCAAGAAAAGACAUUGGAAAUAUGAAAUAGACGAAACGGAUGAAGAAAAUAACUCCUCACGUAUUUUGGGUAGGUUUGAUAUUCUAUUUACGAAUUAUACAUCGCGUAUUGUUAGGUAGGUUUGAUAUUUUAUUUAUGCUUUAUGAAGAAAAAUGGAAACUAAAGGGGGGUUAUUGGUAGAAAAUUUUUAGAGGAAUUACAAAAUUUUGAGAAUCCAUUGUUAUUGGAACAAGAAUUUUUAAAAUUUAAGUAAAAUCCAUUUUUAUUGGGAUGCAGAUUUUUAAAUUCCAUUCAAAAUCUUUUGUUAUUGGAAAAGUUUAUUUAUGAUGGAUUUAACAAUUCUAUUAAAAUCUUUUGUUAUUGGGAUGUAAAUUCUUUUUAUUUUUACUCAUAAGAAUCAACUUUGAGAAUAUCUUCUACACCCAUAAGAUUUCUAAAAUAUAUGUUAUUAAUCUCACACGUAUUAACUCACAGUCUAGAAGGGUGCGUCAAGAAAAAAAAAACAAUGAAAGCAAAGCUGAUAAAAAUCUUGAACAAAAUUGUAAAAGAAGAUGUUAAAGUGGUGAUGAUGCUAUUCAAAGUGUUUUUGCUUUCAUUGAUGAUGUUAUUCACUCAUACUUUCAUCAUAUAUCUGUAAUAUCAUAUAAAGAGAGUUCACUGCUAUUAUCAAAAGCAAGCUAAUGCAUACCAGAAACACCGUAGACAUAAAUCAAUCUUCAAUUUGUAGUGAUGCAAUUCAAAAUCAAGCUACUAAAAUUGAAAAGUUUCUAGAAAGAGAUUUUCAUUUAUAUCACCUUAUAAAAAGAAACUUUUUGAAAAAUAUAUUAUGCAAAUCCAUUGCAUUCAAUAUAAGUACUUACAAAACUUUUGCUAAAAGUUUAGAAGAUAUUUGUUAACUCUACUUAAAUUUUAAGAAUCUCUCAACUCUUAAAAUUAUUAAAUUCUAUUCAAAUUCUUGUUCCAAUAACCCCCCCUAAAUGUCACGUGAAUAUUGAUUCAAAGAUUGAUCAUAUAUAUGAUUUCCCCAAAAUUUAGAUUUAAUUCGUAUGGAGAUAUGUCAGCAGUUUUAUAUAAAAACAUUAUUCCAUCCAUUUCAAUUUAAGUAUCGUUAUUGAAUAAAAUUUAAUUUACAAAGUAAGUGGUGUUUUAUAAUUUUAAUGCAAUUUUAUUAAUUUAUUUUACUCAUAAACAAAUUAGAUAAAACAAUAAACACUAUAACCUAAUAUAAUUUAACUAUUUUUUAUUUUGUGUGAAAGAACAAUAUCUAUAUUAUUAAAAGUGAAGUACUUUUAAUACUUUUUAAUACUGUUUGGAAACUUAUAUAGUAGAUUAAACGAAAGUUGUUUGGAAACAAGGAUAGCAUAUUAAAUAUUUUUUAACUUACAUAUUUAGUCAAUGUAUUUCUUUUUCAUUUACAGAUUCUGUCGUGAAAACUUGGAUAAGAGAUUAAAUGAAAAUUGUUUGGAAACACGGAUAGCAGAUUAAAUAUUUUUUUUUUAUUUACACAUUUAGCCAUUGUAUUUUUUUCUUAUUUACAAAUCUGUCACUUCACUUGAAAUCAAAAAAUUAAACUAAUUACAAUAAAUUGUUAUUUCUUUUUGUUGAAAAUAAAAACACAAACUGUAAUAUAUAGUAUAUAUUAAUUUGCUACAAUAUAAUUUUCAAGAAAACCAAAUAUCAUAAAAUUAAUAAUAAUUCAUAAAAACCUAUUGUAAAAAAAUAAAUCAUUUUUUAAUAAAUAACCAAAAAAAUUAAUAGGUUAACAUAUGAAUAUUACAAUGAACUCAGAUUGCAUCAAGUUAUAAAAUUAUAGAUAUAAUAUUACGUACAAAAAAAAUUAUUAUCAAACAUUUAUAUUAUAAUAUAAUAUAUUCUGCUCUAAAUAUAUUUUGCAAAACAUAAAAAUAUAAUUGGACAUUUUAUAAAAAUCAAUUUGGUUUAUAAAUUUACAUUGAACGCAGUUAAAUCCAACAUCCGCGCGGUGGCGCGGAUCAAGAUCUAGUAUAUUUUACUCUCUGUGUUCUCAAAAGAAUAAUUUUUAUAGUAUUCACGCAUAUUAAGGAGACGAUUAAUUUUUUUAUAAUUGAAUUUAUUAUUUAUUUUACUAUAUAUUUUCUAAUAAAUAUCAACCAAUAAUAUUCAACUAAUUCAAAUAUUUUCAAUUAAUGUUUCUUAAAAGUAUACAACUUUUUAACAUUAAAAAAUAAAAAUAUCUUAAAAUUUUAGAAAAUCUAUUAUUUUGGAACAAAAAAUAAAUCUAGAAAAUUCUACUUUCUGGAACAGAGAGUAAAACAGAUAACACAUAACCUUAGCUAUGACUUAUUUGUUUGGCAGUUUGAUAUCUUCUGAUUUCUUUUUAGCUUUUUAACCUAGGUUACAAACGCGCAGAAGCUUUAAUUAUAUUUAUGUCCAUUAAGUGCGACUUGCCCAAGCUGUAUUUAAUUAAUACAAUUCUGUUUGUGUGUAACUAACUACUUUCUAUGUUUCUAAAACAAAGAUUUUCUAGAAUAUUCACGCAUAUUAAAAAUAUAAUAAAUAUUUACAAUUGAAUUUAUUAUUUAUUUUACUAUACAUUUUUAAUAAAUAUUAACCAAUAGUAUUCAAUCAAUUCAAAUAUUUUUAAUUAAUGUUUAUUAAAAUUAUACAACUUUUCAACAUUAACUACUAAAAGUACCUUAAAACUUUAGAAAAUCUAUAAUUUUGGAACACAGAAUAAAAAUAGAAAAUCUUAGUUUCAGGAACAGAUGUAGUAUUAAUUAAUCACGAUGCCGUGUCCCUAAUCCAGUAUAUAGGGUAGUGGUCCUAACUCCUAAGUUAUUAGUACAUUUUUCCAGACAAUAACUAUAAUGUUAAGAACAAAUCUUUCUUGCUUUUGAGGUGUUUGGGCGAAAUUUUUUUUCUCAGUUCGAUCGUAAACACAUUCUAUCUCAAAAAUAAAAUCAGAUAACACCUGAUUGCGCAAAACACAGCAGGCAUCAGCCACCUCAUCAUUUCUUAACAAUUUGAAUUGAUAAAUAUAAAGUUUUAUGUGGUCCAUAUCAUCCGGGGUUAGGUUUUGUCCCAUAAUCUUUGCCUUAUCGACACGCCAAUCAUUCAUUUAAUUGUACGCUCAGAAUUUUGUGAUUGAGCACGUCGAAGAUGAUAGUAUCAUUCUUGCAUGGCUAACUAAAAUUUGUUUUGUGAUACGUUAAAGUUAAUUAAUGACACUUUGGAAUAAAGAAAAAACAUGUGAAUGUAUAAGCUGAUGGAAAAUCACACGUUAAGACUAGUUCUCAUUAGUUGAAUAAGAGAUCGAUUAAUUCUGACAGGAAAGUCAAUAUUAAUGACAAUUAUAAAAUUGUAGAAAAUGGAACCAAUCUUUCGUUGCAGAAAUUAGGAUAUUAAGUGGAAAAGGAUUAGCUAGGAAGUUUCUAUGAUUAUAAAGAUAUUGACUAAUUCAGUACGCAUUAGUAACUGAUGAUUACAAAAAUAUAUGAUGAUGCAGCUCAUUAGUUCGUAUGCGGGAUUGAAUUGAACACAGCAAUUAAUUAGUAUGAAAGCGAAGAAAACAAACAUGUUGUCCAAUAAAAACAAACAAAAUAAGAAUAAAUAUCGCCACGUCACAUAUAUAAAAGUAUAAAAUGCCAAAUCUCACUUUGCCUUUACUUGAAAAGGAAUACAUGAAAUGUGUAAACACGUUCAAUGCAUCAAUCUUCAAAUUGUAUUUUCGGGUGCUUUCUUCCAUAUCUCCACCAUACCAUACGUAUUCCUUAAGCAUAUGACCGUUCACAACUACAAAUCCUUUAAUAUCAACAAGCAACGUAACCUUUUUGUAAUACAAUAGUUUUCACUAAUUCAUAAUUUUGUUCAUGGAAAUUUGUAAUACUUAACAAGAAGUACCGUUUACAGAAAGUAAACACGUUUUUCUUCCAUAAUUUAAAUAUAUACAAAGCGAAGAAGUGAAAUUUAUUGUAACAGCAAAGAUAUUGCAUAGAGAUGGGGUAACUGGAAUGAGAUGUUUCUAGUUUGAGGUGUAUCCAGAAGACAAUAAAUCAAUAAUUAUAUGGGUACGUGUGGAAGCUUCUGACCACUUGACAACAUUUCGUUGUGUAUGAAACAUAUGUAUCAAGUUCUAAUGAAAUUCCAAGAACCCCACGUUUAUUGAGCCCUUCAAACGAUGAGUCAUUAUUUUUGUUUCUGUAUAGUCAAAUCAAUAUUUAACUCGAGCAUGAAACACCGCCAUCUCCAUAUAUAGGUAAAUACGGAGUACAUCAAGCAUAGAGAUGGGGUAACUGGAAUGAGAUGUUUCUAGUUUUAGGAGUAUAUAUAUAUUUUUUACUUGGUCGAUAUGAUUUCCAUUCAAAAUGGGAUCUUACAAAAUGAUUACUAGAAACUCCACUGUCUCCACUCUCCACUGUCCCCAAAAUUAAUAGCUGCAUACAAAAAAUCCUCAAGUGUUUGCCGAUACACUCUCUAAAAGUAGCGGAUAUAUCCAAUGGGAAUCAAAAGAUCUGGUGCAUGCAUGCAGGCGUGGACAAUAUCGCCGAAACCCAAUAUACAACAUAAAAGAGACGUGCCAAAGGCUGAAUGAAUACGUCAAAAGCAAUGCCAUAUGAUUGGACUAGGAAUUCAUACUUUCAGAAAAUUCAGUUUUUUCAUGCAAAUUACUAAGAGAAAACGGUUUCAAGUCAUCAUUAUCUGUGAAAAGAAUAACUCUAGCUAGAUACCUCAAAUAUGUUCAAUGUAGAUCGAUCGGUAUAUAUUAAGAUUUACACAAAACAUUCUUAGUUAGAAAUAAGCUACUAUUAUAUAAACCCAAAUUGUUUUGCAGUGUAACUUGGAUUUUUACCAUUGGAUUUACUUCUCCAAAACAUCGAUUCUUUAAUAAACCAGAGAGUAUAUAUGAUUAAUAUUGGGAAAUUCUAAUUUUACCAAAAAUCUUUCACCAAAAAUCGGA